RNAcentral lists this long non-coding RNA (46612 nucleotides) under Medicago truncatula (barrel medic). RNAcentral's name for it is "long non-coding RNA (MTRU_LNC001062)". Lineage: Eukaryota; Viridiplantae; Streptophyta; Magnoliopsida; Fabales; Fabaceae. The record is from RNAcentral.
CAGCUGUGAAUUAAAAAUAAAAACGACUCUCCUAAUCUUUGGGAAUUUUAUUUUUAAGGAUAAUCUCUUUGGGAUUAUUUCUCUAGCUGUUUCCUUUCGAGAACAAAUCUUUGUGUACACAGUAAGCAAACCCUAGAAUCAUCAUCAUCAUAAUAUUAAUAUAUUACUAAUUAAUAAUAUAUCAAUGACCCACCACCACAACACAAUAACACCCUUUUCCCACUAACAUCAAUAUUUGUACACCCUAACCUAACCUAUACUUUCCCGACCUUAUAUAUACAACCCUUCUCAUAUCCUCUUCAUCAUUCCUUUUUUGUUGUUAUGUAUUUUGUUUUCCAUCUAUCAUGAGCAAUAUCCCAAAAUCUCUCACCGACUCUUCCUUAACUCUCUUCAAUCUCACCAUAUCAUCUUCUGAUCCUUGGCCUUUCUCUUUUGUUUUCUUAUAACAAAAAACCUCCCAAAACCAAUUAAUCAUUGUUUAACCACUACUUGAAGUACAUUCAAUACACUUCUUGUUGUUGUUUCCUUCAACUUUGUGGGUUUGUUAUUCUUGUUAAUUAUGGGGAUUAGUAGUAAUCAUCAUAACCAUCACUUGAGUUUUCAUUUGCACAUUCCUCACCUCAAUUUUCAUCACCACCAUGAAAAGAAUAAGGACAUUCCAAAAGGGUGUUUGGCCGUGAUGGUGGGACAAGGAGAAGAGCAACAAAAGUUUGUGAUCCCGGUCAUUUACAUAAACCAUCCAUUGUUUAUGCAAUUGUUGAAAGAAGCUGAAGAAGAAUAUGGAUUCGAUCACAAAGGACCAAUCAUCAUUCCCUGCCAGGUCGAAGAGUUUCGUACCGUCCAAGGAAUGAUUGAUAUGGAGAAAUCUCACCACCAUCAUCAUGCUUGGUGUUUUAAAGUUUGAUUCAAUAUUAUUAUUACUACUAGCUUGAGCAAAUCAUUAUGUAUGCAUGAAACUUUUAUGUGUAUUUUUCUCUGAAUUUUCUCGUGUUGAUAUCUUUUAAGUAACAAAAAUGUUGGAUCUUAAUUUGUAGAGUUAUUUUUUCCUAUAAUUGUGUGAUAUCAAUGGGAAAAAUCGAAUGAGAAUCAUAUUGUGGUGUGAAUAAUAUUGUGUUUAUUUUACCAUGAAAAACAAUUAUGUGUAUGUAUAUCCUCAAACCUCUAUUUUACGCAAGCAUUCUCAAUCAAAUUCAAUAAUAAUGAUGUGUGUAGUGUGUGUAUCCAUCUGUUUGCAAUUUCAAUCUUAUGAUUGUAUAAAAAACUUGAGUCUUACAUUCCAAAAAAUAAAAAUCCAAUCUUAUAUGAUGAAUGUGAACACUUUAAAGUAAAUAGAGGUUCUUAAUUAAAAAAAAAAAAAAGGUGAUAGCUGUUGGAAGUUCCUAGCGUGAAAGACACGGUUGGAAUUUGGAAUAAAGAUAAAGAUAAACUUUAUUUUUCAUUCGUUUUUGCCCUUUUAGUUUGGCCCUACGCAAAAGAAAUAUCAACUUUAAGAAAUCUAAUAUAUGCAUAUAUUAUUAUUACAUACAAUAACCGCAUUAAGGAGGACUUGGACGUACGAAAGGGUUUUUGGCCUUUGUUUUUCAGCAAUUAUAUAUAUUCCGUUUAAUUAAUUUUUUCUAUAUGUAAUAAGGUAUAGUUGCUUUGCCUUUGGUUUCUUAAUGGUGGGGUUUUAUUAUGAUUAUGAUGAUAAGGAAUAUGUAGCAACUAGGAAGUUUGGUGGGAUAGUUGUGGUUCAACAUACUUGGCGUGUAUGCGUCGACUCAUUGAGUCAUUACAUUUGUCCUCUAUAUUGUUUAGCAAUUUAUAUAUAUUUUUAUUUUGAUAUAAAUAUCAAGCAUAUUUUUGUUGACAAAGUUUAACCAAUUUAUAUAUUCAUCAUCAUUACGUCAACAACCACAUUGGGUAAUCACAUUUUCCUCCGAAUAUGGGCGAUCUUGACUUUGAAAAAAAAAUAAAAAAAUCUAAACCAAUCACUAUGUUAGGAAAUGCUAAUCUUACAAAAUACUCGUUUUUUGAGGUUGUUGGCUGUCAUCAGUUGAUUUUUUUUUAAGAAAAAAUCAUAUAGAUGUCAGUUAUUUUGUACUAGUAUAAUUAUAUGUUAUUUGAGGGAAGAUUAGUUCUGAAAAUUUGGAAUUCGUUUAAAGUACAUAAAGUUUGGCUAAUGAUUAUUUUAGGGAUCAAACUCAAGCUCAAUAUUUUCGAUCAUUAUUAAUACAACUUUUUUAUAUCAAAAUUAACCUUCAUUUUGAUAUCUAAAUUAUCGGUAUAUCUUCUAUUUGAUCAUUAAACUAUAAAAAUGAUUCAUAGUUUUCUUUUUAAAUCUAUCAAGUUUGUCUUUGAAUUAUGAUUCUCUCUCCUAUUUAAAAAGUAGUUGUAACCUAACUUGACUAGGAAGCCAAAGUUAUAGACCAAAUAAAAUGUUUAAUAGUUAAGUUAUAGAUCAAAUAAAAUGUUUAAUAGUUCUUGAUUUGUGAAAAGAAUAAAGGAUCGUCUCUGGAAUUUGGUUUUGAUUUUCGUCCCUGUAAAAAAAAAAAAUUUGAAAUACAUCCCUGUAAAAAAAAAAAUUGUUUGAAAAAGGUCUCUGGUCCUACUAUUCAGCUAAUUUGGUAUGGUUUUGGCCACGUGGCAGUUGGUGACUGUGCAACUUUUGCCACGUGGCGUGCCACAUAAUAUUACAUUUAAAAAAAAUUAUCUAAAAAUUGUUUUUAAAAUUAAAAACAAUUUAAAAUACUGAAAAUAAAUUUUAAAAUAUUAAAAUAAUUUUCUGAUUUAUUUUUUUGUAUAAUUUUCAAAAUAAUAUAUAUUAUUAAAUUUUUGAAAUUUUUUUUUUAAAUUAAAAUUUUCGUAAAAGAACAAGAAAUUAGAAAAAAAAAAUUAUAAUUAUAAUUUAUUUUCAAAAAUUUUAAAUUUAUAACUUUUGAAAAUAUAAUUGUCAUUAUUUUUGAAAAAAUUUUAAUAUAUAAUUUUCAAAUUAAAAAAAUCUAUUUUUCAAAAAUUUAAUUUCACAUUUUUUUUUCAAAUUUUAAUUUUAAUAGUUUUUAUGUCAAAAAAUUAAGUUUUCGAAGUUUUUUUUCAGAUUUUUUAAAUUAAAAAAAUAAAUUUUCAGAAUUUUAUUUUUAGUUUUUUUUAAUUACGUGGAUUGACACGUGGCGAAUAACAUGCCAAAUCAGACAUGAAGUGGGAUCAGAGACCUUUUUCAAAUAAAAUAAAUUUACAUAAAUGUAUUUCAAAAUUUUUUUUUACAUGAACGAAAAUUAAAACUGGUCCAAAUUAUAGGGACGAUUAUCAUAUUUAAGCUGCGAAUAAAUAAGUAAGUAUCUAUGAGAAACUAUUAUUAAAUAAUGCUUGUGUUGAGAGAGUCUUCAUAUUCAUACAUACAUUGUUGUCCAAAUUCCUUCCUUCCAAUAUGAAUCGUGCCUUCACUAAACAGCAGCUUUUUACUUGUUUCGGCAGUCAAUCCAGCCUUGAACAACUAAUCCGGCAUGUUCUGCAAAUCAUAUUAUUUUAUUAAUCUCAACGUAACGUAUUUGUCAUCAAAAUUCAAAACUCAUACCCAUUCAAACUUUAUAAAAUAUUGAUGACAAAGUUGAGCUGAAUUGGUAUUUAUUUUAACUUCCCAUUAUUUGUCAUUCAACGCGCUACUUUUGGGACAAAUACAAUGUCAAUACUUACUUAUUCCUCUCUUUAUACACAGAAAACAAAUCAUUAUUAUUCUUUUGACAGAACAUAGAAAACAAGUGUUAUUUGAUAGAUUCUUCGAUAUAAAUACAUGUCAACUAACUUCAAUAUAUUUACGUUACUCUUCAACAAAAAAAACCUUUAAUCCUUGAAUUGAUGUUCCAAUGAACCAAAUUCUUAUAUAAAAGUAAAUAAUGACAAAUGAUAAUUUAGAAAACACUUGCUAUUAUAUUUAGAAAAAUAAAUUAUGUUCACUAAAUUUUUUAAUUAGUGUAGAAUUGAUUCUUUUGGUUAAAAUAGUACUUCAUCUAUCCCACAAAUAAUCAACUUAUUUUCAAAUAAAAUUUAUCCCAAAAUGAUUAGAGUACUUUUGUAAAACGUACUAUUCAAUUUUUUUCUUAUAUCUCCCCAAGAAAAUUUGAAGGCUAAUUUGUUCAGGUAAAUGAAAUACAUUUAAAGAAUUGACAUCUUCCAACAUAAAUUUUUUCACAUGCACCGCCUAUGAAUCGAGUAUUUGAUCAAAUGAUCAAGGAACCCAACUGUAUCGGACGAAUGGAAUAUUAGUCCAAGAGAAGUAAGCAUUAAGCAAUCAAGUAAAUUGAUUACUCUCAUUUUUUAUCAUAGGUUUCCUCCAGUAAAUUGACACUUUAUUUUGAUAACUCUUCUAGCCAUUAUUCGGAUAUUGAUUUGUCCUGUUGUGAGUAUGUAUCUCUUUCCGCGAGAACGAAUCGUCGUUGAUAAAUUUUGCUUAUACAAAAAAAGGUAAACCGUUUAUGAACAUAAUACAAGCGCGUCUAUAUUUCAUUUUGGUUUUUGACCAGUGCCACAAAGAAUAAUGUGUAUCCUUUCAAACAAGGAUCUAGACCAAACACACGUUAACAUUGCUCAUGGCCCAUGUUAAUUGCCGCAUUUCUCUGCCUCAAUAUUCUUGUGAAACAAAACAAAGUGCGACAUUUUCUGGCGUAUGAUAAAGUUUUGACCCAAAUAGUAGAAGUAUCUUUAAUCUUCACACGAAAUCUUACAAGAAAGCAAGUUGCAUUUGUGCUCACAAGGAAAAUGGGAGAAUUUUUACUUUGCACCACAAGUCACAUGAGGAACAAAAACAAUAUGCUAGCUACCUAUACUUUUCCAUGAUACAAUCUCCAACGUCCCUAUAAAAAAAUUGCUUAGACCCUCUGUACCAUUUCCCUUUCAAUUCAAAUUCAAAAAGAAAAAUGUUUCAAUUCAAAUUUAAAAAGAAAAGGACACAAACUAAUUUCAAUUUCAAUAAGUAUAACAAUAAAAUCUCCUUUUAAUCGUCAUAGCUAUCUGUGUCUUGUAUUUGAACGAAUUGUGACACCAUGCAAAUACUUUGUAUAUCCGACCAAGCUGAGUUUUCCAUCAGAUUUUCUGAUCCAAUCACCCAUUAGAGAGUAAGCAGAAGGACCCAAAUUCAUCUCCUGAAAAAACACAAUAUCUCGACGUGUUAAGUAGGUUAUUUUAUGGCGUUUUAGAUAAAAUUAACACAAAUCGAAUGUGCAAACCUGUGCCAACUCUUCGACUGAAAUGACACGGUUCCCUGCCUCGUCAAAAUAAUCAUAAGCUGUGGUGGCAAUUCUUUCCCAUUCUGGAUGAACUUCCAGCUGGUAUACACUGAUUGCAGCAGCGCAAAACUCUUCGAAGUCCAAUCUUUUAUAGGAGAGUGGAUCCAUCUUAUUUCAAGAAACACACAUUUCAGAUAUUUCAUAUUAGAUUUGCAUUCAAGAAGAAAAGAAAAAUGCUUUUAAGGAAAACAACAAAAUGUAUAAUAGUUCACGUAAUGAUAAAAUCCAAAUAUGAUCAUAUACUGAUACCAUCUGAACAUUUUUAAAAUAUAAACAAAUUAUAGUUACUUCCAACCACCUGUUUUCACUAAAUACCUCUGUCAAGAAAAUGAGCAAGACUUAAAGGUUACAACAUUUAAUUCAUCACAGUGGCCCCUUAUAUCAUCCAACUUCAUUUAAGUUUAUCAUAUGAAUCAAUCAAGACAUGGUACAUGAUAGGUUUGGAGCAAAUGGAUGAAGUUUGAAGAAAUAUAAAUACAUAUAUGAUAUAUAUCACAAAACAAAUACGACUUACCAAAUUUAGAAUGUCAGGGACCCUUGCCUCCUUCAUGGCGUCAGUUGCAUUUUUCAUGAGAGCCUGAAUUUAUUAUAAUUUCAGUUUAGAGAUUAUGGUUGUUUGUUUAAGAACACGUCUUAAUGUCAUAGAAGGAAUACAUUCGCAAAAAAAUCGUGCACUUACAACUCUGAAAUUCUCAAGUGAAAUGCAACCAUCUUUAGGUUCCAAGAGGCUAAAUUGUGCUCUGAGGUAGGUAACCUCGUCCACCGGCAAUGCUUUUGAGAGAGCCUGCAUAGAUACAGAGAAAAUUGAAAACAUAAAACAUCACUCUUCUUUCAUUGUCCACAGACCUCACAAAGGGAAAAGGAGGGGAGGAUAAAAAUGCAUUUGUAAUAAUGGUAGCAUAACAGGUGACUACCUUCAGUGCCGCACGUUUCAAUGGCGAGGCGCGCACAUAUGACUUGACUAACUUGUAAAUCAAAAUAUCUAAAGGAACGACAUUUUUUUCAUCUCUCAACCAUGGGUGAGCUGCAAAUAUGGAGGCAAUUUAAUAUUACAAAUCACGGAAUAAGAUUUAGGAGUGUUUGUGUGUGAGAGAAUUCAAUACAAACAAUUAACCAUUAAGUUAGGCAUGGUCUGAGCAAAAUAUUCAAAUGAAACAUACAUAAAGCUUGAGCAGCAGUCAUCCUUUUCCUGUGGUCCUUGUUCAAAAGUCUCUUCACGAAGUCUUUAGCUUCCGGUGAAAUUGAUGGCCAAGGUGAAUCAUCAAAGUUAGGAUUUGCUCGUAACACAGACCGGAAAAUUCCUGAUUCUGUCCGUGCCCAAAACGGUCUACUUCCACAUAACAAUAUGUACGAUAUAACUCCAACACUCCACAAGUCUGCUUCAACGCUGUAAGAUCUAUGGAGCACUUCAGGUGCAACAUAGUAGGCACUACCAACAAUAUCAUUGAGGCGCUGCUCUGCAUGUUUAUAAGAAGUCAGUGCUAUCAGUGCAAAAAUCAAUAGGAGAACAGAAAUGUUCAUAAAGCAGAAUGAAUGAUAUAUAGGAGUACUUAUUUUGAACAGUGGAGGGAGUCCUAAACCUAGAACUAAUGCAUUCCUGAGAUUCAUCUAAGCCUAUAAAUUAGUGAAAAUCGUUUGACAAGCAAAUCGAUGUAGGCCUGUAGGGCUUUGUAGGGUGGGAUUGAGAAGAAAAUAUAGAGAAAUCUUACAUUUAUUUUUAUGGUGUGUUUUUUUAGAGAUUGAUAAAUUAAUGUUUAUAAUUACUAAUUUUAAGAGUAUUAUAGCAACAUAGAUUGGAUUCGAAGAAUUUAUAUAAACCCUCCAAACUCCUCCAAUAAAAUUUUUUAGUUACUUUCUUUUGGGAGGAUUUUGUAGUAUAAAGAAAAAUAAACCCCUCAAAGUCCUCCUCCAAAAGUUUCAAUUUCUUCCACUUCUUCUUUCCUUUUUUUCAAAGCCCUCCCUUCCAAACUCACCCUUAGAUUUAUCUGUCCAUCACAAAACUAAUGACUGAUGAAUUGUAAUAUGGUAAAAUAUCACAGUUCCUAAAAUGUACUGUGUAGGUAUCCCACAAAAUAAGGAACUGUCAGACCAUAUUGCACAAAACAUGUGCUAUUUUAUUCCUCGGUUAUUCUACGAAAAAUUGAAUGUGAGAACUGAGAAUUCUACCAUGCAAGUGCAUAAUAUACUAGAGCUGAAACUAGGAAGAAACUUAAAUACAUGAAAGUUAGGUUGUUUCGAUCACAUUACCUGGUCUAACAAAAUCAGAUAGACCAAAAUCAAUAACUUUCAGAACAGCAUCCUCAUCUUUUGAGACAAAAAGAAAAUUCUGCAAAAUAGGCAAAACAUUUAGGGUUACAAGUUUAUAGAUUAGAGAAGUAAUUAUACAAACAAAAUAAUUCCUUGUUCACUGAAAGGCGUGGCCAAGUAAUGUAAGUAGUUCAAACUUCACAAUGCCGUACCUCUGGUUUUAGAUCGCGAUGAACAACUCCCUGGAGAUGACAAAAGGCAACUACAUUCAGAAUUUGUAGAAGAAUAACUUUGGCGUCUUCCUCUGUGUAUCUUCCACCUCUUCAUUAAAUAAUUAACAUCAAAAGAAUCCAAUUACCAUCAUGUUAUUUAAAAACCGAACUUCUGCAAGAAAAGUAAACAAAGUAACAGAUAGCAUAAAUAAAAAAACAAUCUUUCAGUUUUACCUAUCUAGAAUUCUGUCCAGUAAUUCUCCACCCUCGCACAACCUGACAAGAAGAAUAUCUCAUUAAUUCGACAUAAAUUACUGAUUUAACAGUUGUAUGUACUACCCAGCUGCAAAAUCGGUUCAUGUUGUGAACAAUAUUGAAAACAUGUACUUAUGAUGAAGUCCUUUACACCCAAUAACUUCAUGAGAACACAAAUCAACCGGUUGAUAAUGAAUAAAAUCCUAUCAAGACUGAAAGCAAUUUUCAGAUAUAGUUGUUUCUAUACAUACUCCAUCACAAUGUAGACGUUAUUCACAUCCUCAAAUGCAUCAUAAAACUUGACCAAAUUCCUAUGUCCAGAUAAGGCCUUCAACAUUUUCACCUCUCUCCUCACAUCUUCAAUUGCUAUUGCUGAAGUCAUCUGCCAUAUGAAAAUCAGUUAAUCGCAAUAAACAUCACAAAGCAAAAAUUACAGUGUGAGAUCGGAAAGCAAAAAAAAUUAAAUCAUAUAUCAAUUCAUGUUGAUAUAUGUCAUAAAAAAAAUAAAGCAACAAACAACCACAACAUAACAAUAAGUAAUUCCCCCACCCUAAAUUAAAAUUUACUCUCAGACACCAAUUUGAUUGUUUAGAGAAUAAUGAAAAGUUGCAGGAGUAUAGAGUAAGCUUUAGUUCAAGCUCGUCCUAGAAACGUCACCCAUCAGAGCCCAAGUAGCUAAAGUAAAAGUUCUAAAUUGUCUGAUUCAAUGUACAAUUCUUGUAAUGUUCAUCAAUAAGAAAGGUGUUGUUUGUUCCCUUUCUCCGUGAUCUCAAUUUUCCUCUCAUUCUUUUCUUAUUAAGCAUAUAUGCUACACUCCAAUUCAGUUCAUAAUGGAGUUGAAAAACAAUUGUAAAUCCGAGGUUGGUUAUAUGCGGUUUUUACUAAACACCAAUAUGUUUACCAAUGAUCUAACCAGAAGCCUAAAACAGCUUUUGUCAAACAAACGAUUUCACUGCACAAACAAAACGGUUUCGCCCAUCCAUGUGUUUUGGCAACAAAGGGAUAAUGAGCGCCACUACACAAACAAAGGAGCCUGUACCGGUUGAACCACUACUAAUUGGGCACAAAUAGAACCAAAAAUGCAAUGAUUUGCCCUUAGCUAUAGAGGUUGCAACUUCACAUUUUUCUUAAUUGUCUCAUGCCAUAUAACAAUUUUUGCCACCCAGUGCUACAAAGCUCCCACCACAGCAUGAUCUAGGGAAGGGUUGGACCCUUUGGAGGUGUACUGUAAGCAACCUAACCUUGCAUUUGUAAAGUAUAUAUGCAGAAACCCAAUUUUAAGAGCCAUGAUUUUCUACUUCUAGUCUCAUACUAACAACUCCGACUAUUUUGCUACCCUAAUCUCAACAAUUUAUUGCGAUGCUCCCAAGAAAUCAACCAGAGAUAAAGAACCGGUUCAGCCAAAUGUAGGUGUUAUCUGGCAUGAUUAAUCCUGCAAUGUUUGGCUUUCCAUACUUUUAAAUUUUAUUGGAAAAACAGGUUUUCAAGCAUUUUCCUUUCUCGUACUAGCAUCUACGUAGAUCAUGGCAGAUAAUGGAGUGUGGCGGCUAACUCCCAAAACACUAUAGUGGUAUGGCGGGUAGCAGUAUGGCCGUUACGUUGAAGUUUAAUGAAACAGUACAAGAAAUAUAUACCAUACACAUACAAACGCUAAAAAAUAGAGAAAGUUAACGCAAAAUUAAAGACAUAUUCAUAGUUAAUAAUCAAAAUUUAUUGUUACCAACAUUCAAACCAAUUUGAAUCGAUUAAGUUUCAAGGUAAAAUGACCACCAAGUUCGAAAGCAAAAAAGCGGAGGCACUGACUAUAAUUUGGCGGCAUGUUCGGAUUUUCGCGGGAGCUUCAUUGUAACGGUAACUACGCAACUGUUCGGCUGCUACUGCCGCUACUAAAAAUGUAACGCAUUGGAGUUUCUCGUUUAGCGCCUAUAUGGUACGCAACACCACAAUAGUAGCAGCCACUAUGGAAAACGACAUCUUACAUCACCAAUAAAUCCAUUUCAAACUUCAAUGCAAAACUACUACCUUACCAAAUUCCGUAACGCGUUAAUGGUAUUGGUAUGAUAUCCAUUCCGAAUAUAUCGACUAAACUCGAAACAAAUUCAAAUUCAGCAUCAUAGUUUUCCAAAGAGUGCUUAACCGCUAAAUUGAGCUUCCAAAUUCAAAAAGUAAAAUGGAAAACACUAUUCACAUAUUACAUUUCCCACUACAAUAUGAUCACAAAAUUCAAAUCAAUUAGAAAAAUACUCAGAAAAGUCAACAAUUGAUCCUAAAUUGACCAAGAGUACUAAACACGCAUAAAAUUAUCUUAACAAUUGACCUUCAAAUUUUAAAGCAAUCAUAAUCAUAAUCAUAUAAUCAAAAACAAAUAAACAAUAUAGUAUGAUCUUAAUUUUCACCUUAGCUUUGGUAAUGAUUUUGACAGCUACUGAAAUUCCCUUAAGUUCACCUUUCUUCCCUUUAGCCCAACAAGUAUGACCAAAAUGCCCUCGACCAACUUCCUUCCCAAGCUCAAAUUUCGCCCCAAAAUUCUUCCCAUACCCAAAACUCUUAUCCAACGUUCUCUCUCCACCACCACCACCUUCUCCAUGCUCCUCCGGUAUAGGUCCAUCUUUCGGUUUCAUCUUCCGGUAAAGGUCCAUUAUAGGCUUCGCUGGUGACGGUGGAGGAAGUGGCCACCUGAAUUUCCUCCCCGGAGUCUUCGUCGCCGGCGACGGCAUCACACCUGCCGGAAGAGGACUAUUGAAAGGACUUGUGGAGAAAGAGGUUGCCGGAGUUUGUCUUCCCGGAGUAGCAUCACUGACGCCGGAAACAGGUUGAGAAACCGAAAGCGGUGAUGGUGUGUGGUGCGGUGGUGGUUUGUGGUGGUGAUCGGUGGCGACGGUUUCGUUGUCGACUGCGAUGCUUUUGCUGCAGCAAUGACCCAUGGUUAGGUAGCGUAGGUCGGCGGUAGUGGAUUGUUAUCGGUGGUAGUCAAAUAGAGAGAAGAAAUGUCGCCGGAGAAAUUGAGAGAGAAGAGAAAAUAGUGUAGAGAGAGAAAGAGAAAGUAGUAGCAGAAGAAAAAAAUUAUUAAGACAGAACGCAAAUAAAUGAGUUAAAUUUUUAUGAAGUUGUAAGAGAGAGAGAGAGAGACUUGUUUUUUUGACACAGUCCAACUGUAUUCAUUUAUGUGUGAAACUAAAUUGCUUCCUACGUUAGUUGGUUGGCUCUUUUUGUCUACUUGCAAAACUGUAUAUACUAAUUUAUCUAGUUAAAAUGUUGAUAAAAAAAUUCUUUAAAAAAAUUAUUUAUCAUCUUAUUCAAGUGUUAUCGGGUCUUUUUUUAUUUGAAGUGUUAUCAAGGCUACAUUCUUUAGAUCUUUUAUGCAAUUUAGUAUAUCUGAAUUUGGAUUUUAAAUGUUUUUAUUCUACAUGUUAUUUUGUUAAUGUAUCUUACUUUAAUUUAUUGGUUUGAUUUAUUCUUUAUAGCAUAUCAUUUUUUUUAUUUUUUUUUACAAAAUAAUGUGUCUUUUCCAUAAUAGAAAAUUUAGAUAUGGGAGGUACGCCUCAUACAUACAGCAUAGAAUCUCUUAUCUUAUUGUGAGUGUAAACGUAAUAUUCAAUUAUUUGCACUGACAAUAAUUGUUGAAAUUAUGUUGCGUAAUAUUUGUAUAAUUUACAAAUGAUCUCGAAUUUUAGAAAUCAAACGAUUUUGUUUGAUAUUUUUUUUUAUGAAAUACUUCAUUUCAUUUUUAAAUAAAGGUGCAAUACAAAUAAUAUAUGUACAUAAAAUGGAUGAGGUUCAAUUAAAUAAAGAAUAUUUUGUAAAAAAUAAAAUAAAAAUUAUAGAAAAUUUUGCAAGUUAUUUUUGGUUGUUUGAUAAAGAGAUUUUGUAGGAUUAUUGGAAUUUAUAAUUUGCUUAUCUCCGAAUAAACUUCACUAAAAUUAGUCAACAAAAAUUAAUUAAAAAUUAUAAACAAAGAUAAAAGAAUAUUUAAUUAUUAUUAUAAUAUAUAAUUAAAAACUGAAAAUGUGUAUGGCAGGUAAAUUCAUAUUUGAAAAAUUCACCAGAUUCAUUGAAUAGUAAUGUAUAAAAAUACGAAUGAAAAAAAUUAAUACUCAAAAAUUAGAAGGACAGAAUAUGAGUUAUUUAUUUUUUCUUUAAAAAAAAUGAAUUAGUUAUUUUUUUUUGGAGGAAAUUAGUUUUUUUGCUACAGUAUGAAUUUGUUUUGAAAUAACCUAAUAGUGUGUUUGGGUGGGGGAAUAUUUUGAGGUGAUGUAAUGUUUUGAGGGAAUUCAAUUAUCUUUAAGUGGAUUCAAAGAGUAGAAUUCACCUCAAAGUAAUUGAAUUCCCUAAAAAGAUUACAUUCCCCAUCCAAACACAUUCUAAGAUUAAUCAAAUUUGGAAAAUUGUACGGGCUUGGAAACAAUGAUUAUUUAAUUAUGAUUUUGUUGUCAAAAAAGCUAAUGAGAUAAAAACAUAGUAUUACCUUGGAAGACAGAGGAAUAUUCGAGGAUUUUGCCAAGAAAAGAAAACCACAUUUCUCAAGAUCAACUUUAUUGUCUUUUGGCUGAAACUAUUGGUAUUUGAUCAAGGAAUGGCAUCACAUUAACAAUUUUGUGGUAUACUUUUCUGAAUAAUGUGGUCUUUUUUUUUUCCCUUUUUCGGUCUAGUUACGGUUUUUUCUUUUCCUCUUUGAAUAAUGCCACAUGCAUUGAAAUUUGAGUUUGGUGUUGUUGAACUACAUUAAUUGCAAUAGCAGAAGGGGCAAGGCACUUGGAUACAACUUUCUUUUGGGUUACGGUUCAAGCAAAUUAAAAACUGAAAUUUUGAUAAAAUUAACGCACCAAAAUUAGUAGUUUAAUGCCAUGAAAUUCCUUUUUGAGAGAAUGCCAUGAAAUUCCUGCAAACCAUUUGUUAUAAGUUUAGAUUAAAUACUACACCGUGAGUAUAAUUCAAAUUAUAUAUAAAAGUAUGUGCUGCUCUCUUUCCUUUUACUGAAAAAGUUUGUGCUACCAUAUUAUAUAAUUCUGUAGUGUUGCAAAUGGUUUCCGUGUGCUUACUUUUUCUAUCUCUACUAUAUGGUCUAAGGGUUGACGAGACAAGUAGUAGUAUUAAAAAAAGAGAAAAAUACGAUACUACGUAUGAAUUUAUGACCAUGCAUCUACGUUGACUGAAACAAAUCGCCGAAUUACGUUGUCAUCUUAUCAUCAUCGGACUUUAUGCAUUUUUUGUGCAUUUCUUUUAUAUUUUGGUUACAAUGGCAAAGAAAACAAAAAAAACAAGAAAAACAAAAAGAAGAACCUAAGAUCUCAAAGUUCCAGUAGCAUCAUUCCUCAGCAAGGGAAGCAGGUCAUUUGGGGGAGACGGGUGAAGAACAAAACCAUCAUCUAAAGAGGCUCCUCGCUUAUCUAGAAAAGUUGCGCAUUGAUUGCCUACAGGGAGCGUGUGCUAGAGCGCAUAGUUGGCUUGGGCAUGAAGCACUUUUAUUUCGUGGAUGUGAAUCGUGUGAACAUGGAACCUUGAGGUGUUGCCAACAAUAAGGUUGAUAGAGAGGAGAGAGUUUGAAUAACAAACCAACUCAGCGAUACCCAUCUAUCUUGCCAUGGAGAGUCCAUUAAAAAUUGAUGUCAGCUCGACUUGAGAACCCUACUAGAUUAAGCAUGUGUUGUUACGUAUAAUGCCACCAAAAACUACUCAAGUCGAGCUGCCAAUACAACUCCCAUCAACUUUGAGGAUUGCACAAUCAAAAUUAUUGUUAUUCCACCUGAUAUGCCUUUCGAGAGGUACAACUGGAUUGGAAGGGGAGAAGCUUAACCCCUGAUAUCUUCCGCUAAAUUCUUGAUGUUCAAUGUCAGUUGGUUAAGAGUCAUUCAAACACAUUGAAUUGCGGCAUCUCCAAGUCCACCACAAACCUACUAAGAAAGUGAUAGCAUUAGAUUCCUUCGUUCCAUCCUUUAGCCAACCCACCACACAAUCAUAGGCAAGGAAGGAAGGAUCGGUGUAGCCUAAGUGAAGCCAAAUGGUCCUCGAAAUCAUGUAGUCAUGAAUGCAGUGGAAAAGGGUAUCUUCGUGCACUCCACAGCGAGAGCAAAUCGAUGAAGGAGCAAUAUUUCUAUGGUGAAGUAGAGAUAGAGUGGGGACAACAUUGUGACAAGCUAGCCAAAAUGAGAGACUUGUAUUUUUUCGAGAUUUUAAGUCUCCAAAUCCAAGACCAGGAGAGAGGCGAGUUGGUGACGGUGUCUGUUCCGGGAAUAUAUAGGAGCCAGUUUAACCGCUUUUGGUGGAAUAUACUCCAUUCUUGUUGAGCGGUCAAAGAAAAGCAUCUUUUAUUGCAUCAUUGAAUCUGACGUUGGCGUUAUUGAUGAAAUUCACUACUGCUUGAGGAAGAGGGGUGUGCAGAGAUAUAGAUCGCUGCCUAUUAAUGGUGAGAACAUCUUUGACUGUGAGAUGGAUUUCAUGGAUGUCGAUUACAAGGACCUGAGAUCCGAGAAAACCAAAAUCAAUCCAACAAUUGGACCAAAACGAAGAAGAACCAAAUAUGUAUUUCUCUUUUUAAAAUCUAUUGAAUUUUCCCUUUAUUUAUUUUUACAAUACACACACACACACACGUGAGUUAGACUUCGAGAAAUCACUUUAGCCGAGUAAACAUACUUAUAGAGAUAUUUACAUAUCAUUUAUCAAAUAGAUCCUCACAUCGAUAGUGAGAGUUGGACUCACGACUUUGCAUAUAAGUCAUUCCUUAUCAACUAUACCAAUACUCAUUCAUUUGCAUAUAAGUCACAUCGAAAAUUGAGAAGCUCAUGUGUAAAAUGUCGUGAGGGUCGAAAGACUUUCAAUUCUCCUUUAAACCUUAUGAAGGGAGAUCGUGUGGUAUCUCAAAUAUAUGGGACACAAUUGUGUUUGUUGCGAAAUAUUUCUAUAAUAUGAAUAACACAUUAAUUGUAUCAGGUAUAUUUGCAACCCACAUCAAUCAUUAUGAUUUGUAGGAAAAUAUAUUUUUAUGGCAACAAUUAUAUGAUAGGGUAGUAGGUGAUUCUCGUAUGACUUGAUGUGUAUGUGGAGGUUUUAACGUAGAUAGAUAUGAUAUGGAAGCAAGUGGAUAGUUGAUUAUUCUAGAAAGGGUGGCAUGAGAAUUUUUAUAGCGUGGGAGUGAGAAAGCUUGUAAAACUCAUUAAGUUCAUUGGGACAAAAUGUGUUUACCUAAAGAGAAAGGUGGUUGAGUGUGAGAAAUUCAAGAGCUUUUAGUUUUGAUCUCUUAGAAAAGUGGUGUUGGAGGUUAAUAAGGAGAGAAGAUGAAUAUCUUUAGAAUAAAAACUUUGUAAAUAAAUGGGAUGGUAAAUAUGGAAGGAAGUAGAGAUUCGUUGUGGGGGAGAGACAUUUGUAGCAUCGAUAAAAGUGAUAAGGGGAGUUGAGAUAGUCGGCUGAGAAUGUAAUAUUCCAUUUGUGUGAGGAGUUAUGUAUUAUGAAUGAAACAUUUAAACAUAUUAACAUCUAAGUUAUGGUCAGAUGUUUUGUCUUGGCUUGGUUUGUUGAACAGCAACAUCAGUCAUGUUACACAGUUUAUAGAUUUAGUUUCUCAUGGGAAAAAAAACAAUGGAGCUUCUUCAUUUGAUGCAAAUGGCUUGCUUGUUGAUUAUUUGGUGGCAACAUAAUCAAAUUGUUUUAAAGUGUGCAUGAUUACAUUCUCAAGUUGAAUUCAUGAUUGUUAGGAGAUCCAAGAAUGACAUAGCAUCUAAGUUAUUCAUAAUCUAAAUGAACGAAGAGGAUUUUCAAGAUCAAGAUGGAGUUGAUCAAGCUGAAUCAAAGAUGCAAUUUUCUCUGGGUCAAUGAAAGUCAGAGGAAAAAGAUAAAAUGUCAUAUGGAUCAAACGUUGCUUUAGAAGAUUCGCUCUGAAGGAAAUUAAAGCAAUCAUAUAAAUGACAUAAACCUUAAGAGAUCAUAAUCAUCGUCUGGUCUACAUAAUUCGUUUAGACAAUCCAACAAGAAGGAAUCAAAGUUAACCUUUUUAAUAACUAUGAUCCUCUGAGUAUGCUCCAACAAAACAUCAAGUAGACUUUGUUCGAGAGUUUGGAGGGGAGGGGAGGGGAAGAGAGAGCUAUGAAGGGUGAUAAAUAUAUAGAAAAAUGAAAAAUCUUUAACAUUUUUCAAAAGAGCAAUUUUUUAGAGAAUGCUAAACUAAUGUUUAUGAUUAAUAUAUUUUUAAUUUUAAUAAUAUUAUAAUAAUGUAUAUUGAAUUUGAAAAAUUCAUACAAAGCUCGUAAAACCCCCCAAAAUCCUAUUCAAUAUAAAUUUUGAGUUUCCAUGUGUAGAGUUUUGUAUUAUGAAUAAAAACUCAACCUCAAAAACCCGCUUCUCCCACUGUCUUAUAUUUCUUCCACUUCCUCAUUUCCUUCAAAACUCUCAAACAAAACCUUAGAGUAUUAAAAAAAAAAAAAACCUUCUACAAAUAUUUUGAAGUAUAACGACGAGGCUCUCUCUUUCACUCUCAACAUAAGAUGAAGUACAUCUAUCAAAUAAAUGGAUAUCUUUUGACUUAUUAAUUUUUAACAAAUAAACUUACUGUUGUAGCUUAAUAUAUAUCAUUGAGGUAGCUAAUUUAAAAACAUACUAAAUUAUUCGUGUUUUUUUAUUUUUUUAUUUUUUUUUUAUUUUUUUUUAUAGCCAAAACUACCCCAAUAACAUGCAUGGCUUUGCCCCUAUUUCUCAAAACCAUUUUCACCACGAGAAAAUACCAAAGAGUAAUACAAUGACAUACAUAGAAUAUGUGUCUAAUGUAACCUUUUCAAUCCCAUACAAUCAAUGAAGAACAAUUUGCUCCGAUUCAAUUUUUUAUGAAUAUUAUUUAUGAGAAAAAGUUUAGAUUAGUCGAGUAACAGGAGCUCAUGAGGGGCAGCGCAAGUCUCAAGACUCAAAGCACGUUUGCUAUUGAAAUAAUUACAUAAACGAGAAAAGUAACAUGUAAGAUUGUUUAAAAAAUAUAUAAAUACAACAUAUUUGGUUUGACGAUGAUGUAAAAUCGAUACUUAAACCAAUAAUAAUCGAGUUUGUUCGGUUUAAUUCAGUUUUGGGAUAAAACAAUAUCUAAAUCUCAUGAAACUUGUGUUGUGGUUAAGCAUGACUCAAUGACAAAACCGUUUUAUUCAUUUUAAUUCCAGAUUUGACGGGAAUCAAUCACGUUGGUAGUGAUGCUAUUUAACAAGGUGCAAAAAGUAACUCAAGAAACUUAUGAGUGGGGGCAAUAGAGAAGGCCCAAAGAGAAAACAGACAAAAAGAAGCAGAGUACGAUGCACGCGCUUGUAAGUAGCGUGAGACGAUAACAUAAAAUGUAAGUAAAACAACGUAGUGAAAAAGGUGUAUAUAAUGGUGUUCACACCGUGCCGGUCGAAAUUCGCCACAACCAAUCAUCUUUCACCAAAAAACCCUUUUUCUCAUUUCAUUCUCUUCACCCUAAUCGCAUCGUUUUCUACUUUGAAGUUUGUUUUUUUCUUCUUCUUUCAAUUUCAAUUUCAAUUUCUAGGGUUAGGGAUUUCUAAUUUUCUAUUUAUUUUCCCCCUUCUGGGGCACUUUCGACUGUUGUUGUUUAAUGGAGGCCACGGCUGCCGCAGCUGCCGCCGCUCGCGGCGUUGCUCUUCAGUUGCAGACCCCGCCACGGAAAGAAUGGCGUGCUGUUGCUGAACAUCAUCAUUCUGCGAGAAACCCUGAUGAUGAGGUACUGAUUUGAUGUUAAAACACUUCACAUUGUUUUUUUGUAGUGUGGGUUUGUGCGUGGCAGAGAAAAGCGUUUUUUUUUAAUUGGAGUUAAUCGUAGUUGAUUUGGGUUUUUGGGUGUUUUUAGGCAUUGAUUUGGGAUUAGGGUUUACCAUUUUAUGAUGAUUAGGGUUUACCAUUUUUUGCAGUGCUUUUUUGCUGUUGUCGUUUUAAGCAGCGAGUUUUCUUACUUUUCCAUGACUUAUGCAUCAGAAAAUCGAUGUCACAUGAUGUUUGGAGCGAAGAUUAUAGUUUUACUGUCGGGUUCAGUUGUCUUUUUUUUUUUUUUGGUUGCUUGCAUUGAAUCCAAAUUUUAAUUGAGAUUGGAAUGUGCUUUACUUUCAAGUUGCUGGCCAUUUGAACAAUGUAGUCUGAUUGCUAUUUUUAAGUUGAAUGUGCUUAGAGUUCAGACUUUUGCUGUUGAAGUUUAAGGUUACCAUAAAGUUUGAACUUAUGGUUUCAUUUACCGAGUAAAGAUUUUUAGAUUUGAGUACCAAAUAUUUGAUAGCUUACCAUUGUGUAAGAUAUGUAAAAGGGAGCUUAAUUUUGAUUUUGUUGUUGCUGUUAAUUGUUGUGUUUGGUUGAUUUGGUUGUUGAUUAGCUUUUUUUGGGGUGCAGGAGUUAGAAAACCCAAAACUUGGGCAAUCGGACGAGAGAACCAUAUAUGAGGUAAGGUUUCGGUGUGAGAACCUGCCUUUAAGUUUUAAGGGAUCUAGAUCCCGAAGAUAAUCUCUUACUGUUUUUCAAGGUGCAGCAAGGAAGAGAGCCCCUGGAUGUUGAUUUUUGUUCGAUGACAAUGGAUGGAACACUAGACAUAGAUAUUUUACAGCAGCAGAUCCUUAGUGCUGUUAGUCAAAGGCGUGAAAUACUUCAAAUGGAGAUUGAACUAAAAGCUCAAAUCAUCGCCAGAUCUGAGCUGUUGAAAAUGCGAAACACCUAUGAUGCUCAACUGAAGGAGCAUGCUAACAAUGCCAGCAAGUUUCAGGUGUACAUUUAAACAUUUCAUACGUAUAUUUGGAUACUCAAGACUAGGCUGAUCUAUAACUUCUGAAAAAAUUGGUUUCCUCAGGUCAGGUGUUAAAAGAAAACCAAACUUUUAGAUGCUUAAUUGUAUCCUUUACAACACCUAGGAGAUUAUAACAAUUUUAGUGACACUGGUGUAGCAGACAUAACUAUUAUAUUCUGAUGGCUUAAAGGGGCACUUUAUCCUUAAGUUACCGUACUUUUAAGUUUAAAGAUUUGCUCCUAGCCUCCUACUGGUUAAGAAUUGUUGGUCGCUUUUAAAAAAAACUGUUUAUCUGGCCUUGCAGGAGCAACUUUGUGAAAGGGAGCGUGCAAUUCAUGAGCUGGAAAGGAAAAUGGAAGAGAAAGACAGGGAGCUACAUAAAAUUAAACUAGAUAAUGAAGCGGUGUGUUGAAUGCCUCUUAACUAUCUUAUUUCGGUUUUCUGGAUCUUAUUUUAGUCUCUUGAUUUCAUGCUAAUCUCUUCAAUUAUUUCAUUAGGCGUGGGCUAAACAAGACCUUCUUCGUGAGCAAAACAAAGAACUAGCAUCUUUCAGGUUAUUCUUUUAUCCAUAUUUAUGCAAUGCUUUAAGUUUUGCUUUCAUCCUUCGCUGCUUGCUUCAUUGAGCAAAUCGUUUUGCAGAAGGGAGCGUGAUCAUUCAGAAGCGGAAAGAGCUCAACAUAUACAACAAAUACAUGAUCUGCAAGAACAUAUUCAAGAAAAAGAUAGACAACUUAUUGAGUUGCAGGAACAGGUAGCAUGCUUGUAUUUUAUGUAAUUUCUUUUGAAAAUAAUUUAUUUAAAGUUUAUUCGCUUACGUGGCCAGCUGAUGUUUCUUUCAGAAUAGGGUUGCGCAGGAGACAAUUAUGUUUAAAGAGGAACAGAUUAGAGAGGCUCAAGCAUGGAUAACCCGUGUUCGUGAGAUGGAUGUUUUCCAAUCAACAACAAACCAGUCAUUACAGGCUGAAUUGCGAGAGCGCACGGAACAAUAUAAUCAGCUAUGGAUGAAUGUACAGAGACAGGUUGAUCUACAUUUCUUAUCUUCUACGAGGAUUAUGUUUCAUUUUUUACCCCAAAUAUUGUUGUAUGUCCUUUUGUACUUGUGUCUUUGUUUGCACCGUUUUGAAAUAGAUAUUCAAUUCACAGCUGUGAUUUGGUUUUGUAGAUUCUUUGAAUUAUUUUCAAAGAAUUUGAACUUCUGAGCUUUAUAAGCAUUUUUUGGUUUGUUAUAGUAUGUCAUGUCAUUACUUAAAAUAAUGAUGGAUGCUGCUUAACUCUAUACUUGUUUUUUGGUGGCGGUAGUUUGCAGAGAUGGAGAGGCAUCAUUUGCAUGCUAUGCAGCAGUUACAGCUUGAGCUAGCUGAUGCAAGAGAGAGGACUGGAACUUACAAUGAUGACUCUCGAAUGUCCCAAGUAAAUUCGAAAAGUAACGUAGCUCCAUAUGGACAGGAAAAUGGAAAUCAAUUUGACUUGAAUGGAGGCAAUGCUUCAGGUGGAAAUACUGGUCUCCUUACAAAUGAGAACUCAGAUAACGGUCCUCCAUUUUCAACUUCAGGCAAUCCGUCAAUUCAGGUGCAGUGCUUCAUUUAAUGAAUUAUAGAUAAACAGCUAAGCAUUUUACUUUUGUUUUAUUCCCAGAAAUUUUAUUUGCAAUGCGUCUUACAUGCCAUUUGAUUUUAUACCUAAAACAACUCUUUCAAGAUGUCAUUUGAGAUCAUAGAUUCAUAAUGACAUAGGUUAUGAAUGACUGUUUUGUAAAGUGCCAUGUGGGUUUUCAUCAGGUAUCAAAGCACUACAGUAGCUUGUAUAUCUUCUCAUGAACCAAGUGUAAGGGAAUCUGCUCCUCUAAAAUGAGGAGCUUUAGAGAAAGGUAUCGGAGCACUAGAGUAGUUUGUAUAUCUUCUCAUGAACCAAAUGUAAGGGAAUCUGCUCCUUUAAAAUGAGGAGCUUUAGAGAAGAAGUGAGAUGCUAACACCAUCAAUGUGAAGUUUAGAUCUAAACAAUUUUAUAUUUUGACAUACAUGUUAUACACACUUAAUUUCAGCUGUUGUUAUUUUCAUUAAAUGGCUUUCACUCCUGUCUCCUCCUGAAGUGAAUACAAAAUUUGAGACUGAGUAGCUAUACAUGGCUGUUGGUGUUCUUUAGCUCUGCCUUGUGCCGGUCUAUUGAAAAUUUUGUGCCCAGACUAGGAGGUUCAAAGUGAUAAUUGAUAUCUUUUCAAAACAAACUAUUGAAAAUGCAAUACAUGUAAUGGUUUGAUUUGAAGAUUGAGAUAGUUGUUAAACAGGAAUGUUGAAUCUUUUGGUUGACUGAUGAGAUAAUUUACGAGGAUCAAACUGAUGGUGCUUUUUUUUUUUAAUGACAAAUGUUAGUAUGUUGAUAGUUAUGUUAGUAUUUUCUCCCUUGCCAAGAUUCGAACCCUGAACCUUUAACUUUUAACUUCUUUAAUCCCUUAGCUCAACCAAGUGAGCAACCCAUCCCCCCCAAUGCUUGGAAGUUAUGGUAUCUUACUAGUUCUUUUAGUACAAACCCGGAUGUUAAUUAAUAGUACAUACCACAGCCUCAGCCCUAUUAAUAAGGAGUUAAUUUUUAUAGAACUUAUAUUUACUUUUAAUUUUUCUAAGUACAUCAAAGAUUGUCCCAUGUUAUUAGGUGGGUUAUACCUUUUGACUUUGAUCAAUACUUUUAUUAUGUUGUAAACUUGUAAUCCAUGUCUUUUACUUUGAUAUAAGAUUUGAUGGACAUGUUUUGUCAGGAGAUUGGAAAAUGACAUUUCUUACCCAUUUACAAUACUGUUGUGGUUAUUUUCAGACUGAUCAUACUCAUGGUGUCGCUAUUGCUCCAUCAUCUCUGAUUGUCCCCCACCCGUACCUUCCACCUGGUCAAGUUACUGCCUUGCAUCCAUUUGUUAUGCAUCAACAAGGAGUGCCCAACUCUGUUGCAUCACAUGUCCCUCAGUCUCAUGUUGGACAUUUUCAUCCAGUGCCCACAAUGUCACCUAUGCAACAGUGGCAAAAUCAACAGGUAUCUAGUGUUACAUAUAUGCCAGAUCUUAUUAUUAUUAUUUUUUUCUUUCUCUUUUUAACUUUUGGAGUUUUAAAAUUUAUACUUGUUUUUUCAGGCUGUUUCAGAGGGUUUGCAGGUAUCCAUGCAGGAUAAUGCCGCCUCAUCCCAAGCUGAUCAAAAUUUGAUCAGAUCAGAUGCAAAGUUUAAUUAUGACAUGUCUGUUAAUGGGCAAACUCUUACUAGAGACUACUUGGAUGCUCAUGUUCACCAAGGCGAGGAGGCACAUACUGUGGUUUCAUCAUCCACCGGGGAAACACAGGUUUGGUGACUAUUGGUUUUGAAGGUUUUUUUCUCCCAAUAUUUGUCUAUUAAAUAUAACAGCUGAUGAAUAAUUGAUUUUUUCUAAGGUUCUUCAGUCGGUUGAUAAAGAUCUACUUAUUGCUUCCCAACAAAGCUUACAACAGAUUUCUUCACAGUUCUCUGAGGCCUUGAGGUUGAACUCUUUUAAACCAAAUGGUGAAAUGAAGGUUUGUUCGGAAUUUUCCGCCCUGUUUGAUGCUUUACUUGUUUUUCUUUGUUUGAUAGACUAAAGUUCAUUUGGGGGGUGGUUUCAAAUGCUACUUUAAAUGGUGGUUAUUUGUGUUUCAUUGUAAAUCGUUAAUUUACAAAGAUGUCAAGAUAUUUUGGUUUUCCUACUAAAUUAAAGCGCACAGUAGCUUUCAAAGAGUCUUCAUGCUUUUGAAGCUUGUUCAGGAAUCACCACAAUAUUUUUGAAAAUAUUAGACUGUUUUGAAGAUGGUAAAAAGGCAUAUUCACCCUUGAUUUUAUUCAAAAUGCUUUCUUUACCUAUUAACAUCAAAGUUUGAACGCACCCUUAUUAUCUUCAAUGACAAAUCAUUUUUUUUUUCCCCCAUUUUAGAAGUGCCUUUUAAGGAAAAAAGCAAUUAGAAUAAUGCUUUUACAGCUGAGAGGGUGGGAGCUAACAAUUUUUUUCUUCCACAUGAGCAGAAUCCAGUGACAUCAUCUAAUGAUGAAGGACCUGCGAGCCAAAUAUUAUUAGCUGAGCAAGCAAGUUCUGCUGUAAAUACAUCAUCUGUUGCAAGUCAUUCUGUUGGUGAAAUGAUUCAGAACAAUUCUGAUAUUGUCUUGCCUGAAGCAUUCGCCUCGACUGUGCAGACAACUUCAACAACCAUUGCAAAGGCUCCAGAUGCUGCUCUUCUUGAUGAAAGGUCAUUGUUAGCAUGCAUUGUGCGCACUAUUCCAGCUGCUGGACGAAUUCGAAUCAGUUCAACGGUUAGUGUUUGUGGUUUAAGUGUGAACCAUCUAACAUUUUAUGAAAGAUACUGUCUUCCCCUGCUUACCUUAGUGUAAUUUAUUUGGUUUGUGUUUUAAAAACAGCUCCCUAACAGACUGGGCAAAAUGCUUGCACCUCUACAUUGGCAUGAUUACAAAAGAAAAUUUGGGAAGCUGGAAGAUUUUGUAACUAGUCACCCUGAAGUAAGUUUAGAAGUUACCGUUUGGACAGAUAGAAUUUAGUGUAGUGAUAUGCAACUGGAUGUAAUUUGCUAAAAUUUUAGACCAAUCAGCCCGUGUUAUCAAAUAAGGCUCUAUAGUGGCGCUAUAUUGCAUAUAGCGGGGUUUGAACAAACCCUUAUUGUUCUGCGAUACACUUUCUACUACAAAAUAUUGUGAAAUAACGACUAUAGUUGCACUAUAGCAAUGUUGUGUAGCAGAGUUUGAACAAACCACUAUUUUUUUUUACGAUUCACAAUUGACAACACUGAAACUAAAUGCUGAUUGUUGGAUGCAAUGAAGUGGUGGGAUCUGGUCAUCCAUCCAAGACAACUGCAUGCCAAGUUGUCUGUCAAUAUUUUUGGUUGGCUAGCAAUUUUCAUUGAGUUGUCUGCUUGUUCAAUUUCACAUUUUUCACCGGCAACAUAUUUGAUUAGAGGUUGAUGGGUUUUUUCCCCUUAUCAUUUCAGUUAUUUUUGAUUGAGGGUGACUUUAUUCAACUCCGUGACGGGGCACACAAAAUGAUUGCUGCAACCGCUGCUGUUGCAAAAGUUGCUGCAGCUGCCGCAGCAUCAUCUCCUUAUUCUUCAUAUAUGCCUACUGUAGCAGUUACUCCAAUGGCUCAAUCUCACCGCUUAAAGAAAUCUCCUUCAACUGACUCCAAUGGGGCGUGCUUCAGUGUUGCUGGAGGUCUUACGAAUGUUAAAAUUUUGAGUAAACCCAAGGAUUCUCCUGAAAAUAGUUAUGUCCAGCCUUCUGCACAAUUAUCUGUUGGAAACGGGGGAAGUCUUGACAGACUAAGUAUGAUCAGUGCUCAAAAUUCAGUCCCAGUAAAUGGAAGGUUAGUUUCAAACUUCAUUUCUAAACAGCAGACCCAGUUUGACAUUGGCUGCUGAAUGAUAAUAUACAUUGGCUGUUGAAAUGAUAAUAUGGAAUCAUACUUAACUUUUUCUUUAAACAGGUCAACUGCCGCUGCGUACCCUUCUCGAAGAUAGUGAGUCUUCUUACUGACACUUAAGAUGCUAUUUAUGUUCGCUUUGAAUUUUCAUUGAUCUAUUUAUGUUUGCUAGUAUAUAGUUUCUUUUGAAAAAACUGCAUUUGAAUGACUCCGUCGUCACUCCCAGAUUUCUAAUUUAAGAAUACAACAAUACAUGCAUGUGUUUCUGGUAUUUCUGUCUGGGAACAAUCGUGCCGUUUUUUAGAUUUAUCUCAUCUUUUUUUUGGUAGUGAAGAUUUAUCUUAUCUGAACAAAUAUAGUAUUAAUACUUUUUACUGAAUACAAAUUUUCGGCAUUUUGAAUAGCUCAAGCAUAUGUAUCAAUUAUGCCAUGCUUCAUAAUUUCAAUUGCUGUUUAUAUUCAGGGAAGGUGGAGGGGCAUAGGUUAACCUGUGUCGCCAGGUCGAGGAUGGAAACAUAUAUAGUCCUGUUUUACCUGUUUGCGGGAGAAUGUUUUCAAGCAAACUAUGAUUUGAGUUGUCGGCGCUAUCCCCAUAUUCUGCAGUAAUUUAUAUCUCCCCUUCGGUUUUAAUUUAGUGUGCUUCCGAAAAUUUGGGUCUGGUGCUUUGAUAUUUAUGCCUGCAUUGCAUCUUUUGACUGAUUUUUUGUGAAUGCUUGAAAGAUUAAUAUCAAUGAAAUUAUCAUUUUCUAAUUGCCAACGCCCCAUUUGUCCGUUCUCUAUUUCUUGGUAAAUUGGUCUGCCUGUAGCAAGAUCGUAGGAGGCAAGGAUGGAUCAAUUCCAAAAAUUUAUUAGAAGAUUUCUUGCUUAAAAUUCUAUUUAUGUUCUGAAAAAUUAAUGAAUUAUUCAUGUGUGUUUUAAUUGCUGCGUACUUGAGCAUAUUAAAUUAACAACCUCUGGAUGUAAUUUUCACCACAUAAAUUGAUUUAACACUAGAGAAAGUGUGAUCACUCACCAUGAAAAUUGGUUCACCGUGCAAAUUUUGUGUUUUAAUCGCUGCGUAUUUGAUUAUUAACAACCGGCGUGUUAAGAUGGGUUACAAUUUCAAUGAGCAUUUUAAGAGAAUGAAGUUAAAAAUUUGUACAAAUUGUAGUGUAAAAAUCUUUAUCCGGGCGUCUUUAUCGUACUUUUAGUGUAAAAAUCUUUACUCGGGCGCUCUCACAUGCCAACAUUUGUAACAUUCAUGAAUCUCUCCAUGUGAAAAUUACAUAGGAACUAUUUCUCUUUUGUAGAUUGGGAUGAGAUUGAGUCUAUCAAGAUUUAAAGCAGUCACUAUAAUUAAAGAAACACCAAUCAAUUAUAUUGUUGAAGUUAGAUUUCUCUCAAUUUCUCAAAAAAACUAAGACGCCAAUUACAAUUACUUGUUUUUUAUUUUUUUAUUUUCUCUUUGCUUCUUUUGAUUUUCUUUACUAUAAUUUUCAGGCGUAUAAAGAAUAUAGAGCCACAUGUUUUCAAAUUUAUGAUAUUAAUUGGACACCUUAUAGACUGAUUCAAAAGUGAGGUAUUUGGCUAUUAAAAUACAAAGGGUAUAUAUUUGCAUUUUUUAAAAUGAAUGCAAAAAGUAUAAUUGAGCAAAAAUAAAGGAGAUAUUUUUUCUACAAAAAAAAAGGAGAUAUUUUAUGAAUGCAUUUGACCCUUAUUCGUGUCUUUUUAACCACCAUUUUUACUGUUUUUCAAUGAUGUAGAGUUUGUGGUGCCAUUUAAUUUGGGAAAGGAAUGUUAUUUUCCACCAUGGAAAAAUUUAGAUUUAGCCAUUAGAUUAAUGAGGUGUAUUGAUCUUAUCAUGGUCCACCCAUACUUUAUUCAUCCUCUAAGAUCUGGAAUUUUACACAGGAAAUCAACUAAUCUUCCAUGUCCCCACCCACCACCACCAUCACCACCACCAAACAAAAGCUUGCUUCCUUCUUCUAUGUUCUCACGCAGUCAUCAUCACCGUGAACAUUACAAACUCAUAAAACACCAUCAUCAACAACUUGUUAACCCAAACAGAAUUAUUCAAAAAACGCGUUUGUUGUUUUCUAUUUCUGGUUUGUGUUGCCAAAUCUAUUUCCAAAGAAUUUGAUUCUGGAUCCUUUUGAUAAUUUGUUCAUCAUUGUUUUGAUAAAUGACUUUAUGAUAUUUUUUUAUUUUAUUUCAGACUUAGAUCUAGCUGUUGAAAGAUUGAUUUGAGGUUGUGUUGUUUCUAGUUUUUGAUUUUGUUUUGUUUUGGGGAAGAAUCGUCACGGCGCUAACGUGAGGAAGAGGAUAGACGGCGGUCGGCAGUGAUGAUGGAGAGAAGGAGAAGAAUGAGCCUGAUGUGUAGUUGAAAUCAGAAGUAGUUAGUUUCGAUUGUUAAACAGAACACAUACAUGGUUUUGGAAAAUAAGAAAUAGUGAAGAGGAUAGAGUAAAAAGUAUCCACAAUUGUGAAGCCAACGUCGGAAGUAUGGAGGUGAGAGAGGAAGAUACGGCGACGGAAACAGUGGUUGUAAGCGGCAACUGCCAUGGAAGAGGCGUCAGAAGAAUAGAAGAAGAAGAUGAUAAUAGAGGAUGAGUGGUUAUUUCUGGUACUGACAGACCAUAAUAAUAUUAUGUUCCUUGCAUAAUCCAAUAAUCCAAAAAAACUUUCCUAUGGUGGAAAAAAAGUCUCCUUUCCCAAAUUAAAUGGCACGAAAGUUUGUUGGUUCAACACCCAAUCCAAGUGCAAGUAACAAUAACAAUGUUCAUAGUAGUAACUUCCUAAUGUUAAAGAGGGUUACAUCAGUUGAGACAUGAUCUAAAUAAAUGGGGGUAAUCCUCACCUCCGACUUCGGUUGAAAGAUGACCUCGAUAAGUGUUUAUAAGUGGAGUCAAUCCUCACAUCACAAUUCGAUUUUGUCGGAUUGUGUUAGACCUAACUACAAAUUCUAAGACCAAAUGUUGAACAUCAUCUGCCAUUUCUAUACAUAACCAAUGAUUAUACUAAAAAUGUGUAAAUAAUAAGUCGAUCAAAUAUAUUAAAAGCAAAACAACAUCCUUUCAUUGUCUACACCAACAAUCAUAGUUGAAAAGAACUAUCAUAUUUCACUAUGAAAAACACACUUCACUUGAUGCUAAAUCACUCUAAAAAAUUUUGCAUGCCAAAAUGAUGCUGAAAAUUUAUGGUGCAACUUUCAUGUUAAUACACUAUGAACUUGAAUUUUCUUAAUUCAAAAUUAAUUCUUCUAUCAAAUUUAUCUAGGACAAACUUCACAGCAUAAUUUGACAUUGCAGUUUUAUUCCUACCGUGAAUUGUGCACCAUAGAGGUUCUUAGAAAAGUGAGGCAGGUCACAGUGGACAUACUUAAGUUCCAAGUCUUUCCUAUCUUUUCAAAACAAUACUUUCAUUGUAUUACACUUCUUCUUUAUGUGUGAGAGAUCAAACAAUGCUCUAAUAAACAACAUAGAGAAAUUAAGGAACACAAUUACAACACAGAUAUAGCUUGGAAAAUUCUAAAACUGGAGGAAGAAAAAAAAUUGUUGACGAAUAUCAUCUAGAGAAUAACAUUAUGCAAAAAAAUCUACAACAUGUAGACUUGUUUCAAGAACCACACAAUCCUCCGUUCGCCGACACUCUUCAAAACAAAUAUCUAACUACAUCUCUCAAUAUUGUAAUAAAAGAGUGUUAUAGGAUAAAAUAAGAAAAUCAAAUACAAACUUAGAGUAUUUUUUAUUGGUGCAUUCUGUAACAAAAGACUUGUGCUAAUAUAUAUAACUUUGGCCCCCUAUUUCUUAGAUAAUGUGAGACUUAUUUCAAGAUGUUUCAUUUCAAGUUUCAACCAACUCUAUCAAGUGGUAUGGAAUGAAAUUCAUUGUUCUUACAAAUCCAAACACUAAAAUCCAUACUUCGUAUUACUUCAUUACAUCAUAUUCUUCCUAUUCAAAUAAAACUUAAAAGCUUUGUUUGGGAGAGCAUUGAUGAGAGCGGAAGGGAGCAAAAUGGAGCCAGAAACUCAUUGUUUGGGUUAGUGUCUUGUAAGAGUGGGAAAUGACAAGACUUGGAUUAAUAUUUUCUUUAUUUUGACUGUAUUAUUAGAAGAUAGAUGGUUUGGAGAUCUCUUCAACUCUCCCAUCUCCAUCUCUUUAAACCCCUUUCACCCACCUCUCCCACCCUACCACUAUUAAUAGGUGGCAUUUAGGGUGGGAUGGGAAAGAUUUUCCCACCAUGGGAAAGUUGAUUUCUAAUCCUUGGAUCAAAUGAAGAGUAUAGUUUUAUCAUAGUCUCUCACCACUAGAUUUUUUCACACUAUCUCCCACACCCUUUUCUCUCCUCCAUCCCCACUCACCCACCACGAGCAAACCACCACCAAGUCCAUGUGUCCAAAUUCCCAACUCUUUCAAUCUCUCAUCAACUUCAUUUUUUAUGAGAUCAAGUUAUGGAGCUUCAAAAUACGGGAAUCGAAACAAUUCCAUGAUAGUUGUAUUCAAACUAUGGAGCUCAAAGGUAACAAAAAAAAAAAAACUGUGGAGCUUAAAGAAAGAAAGAAAGAAAGAAAAUGAAUGAUGCACUUUCAGAUGAUAUGGGAAUUUAAAUUUAAUUCAUUGAGAUAAUUUCAAAAUUUAAACAAUUCCAUGGUUGUUGUAUCCAAGCUGUGGAGCUUAAAUUUUUUCUUUAGAAAAGUAUGGUGGGACAGUGCUUGCAGUUAGCUGUGAAUUUAAAAUAUUCAAUGUUUGUAGUUAAAUAUACGUGUAGCCGAUAAUGUAUGAAGGGCUCCUUUGAUGUGAAAAAUACACAACUAGGUGUUGGGACGAUGGGGGAUCAACAUGGAGUACCAAUUUUUCAGAUCUGGUGAUUGAAGAAGAUGAUGAAAAAAAUCUGGUAUAGAGAGACUAUGAUAAAAGUGUGUUCUUUAUUUAAUCCAAUGGCUAAAAUCAACUUGCCCAUGGUGGGAAAAUCUUUCCCCUUCCCACCCUAAAUGCCACCCUAUUAAUAACACACUAGCUAGUUUACACAAAUUUUAUUUAUUUUUAUUUUAAAAAACUUAACUGCCCAACUAAACACCAAGUGUUGAUGAGUGAAGAGUUGAGAGUUCGAACCUACGUCCCAACAUAUCAAAUAUUUCUACAAAUUUUUAUCAUUUAAGCUAUAUUCACAAAUCUACUUUGCACGGUUUUAAACAGGUUUAUAAUUUCUUAAAAUGAUCAAUCAUUUAAUUACAACAUAAAUGAAUCAUUUUAAAGUAAAAUGCAUUGAAUUUGUAAGAAAUACAAAAAUAGCAAAUUAUAUAAAAAUGUUGAAGUAAAUAACCAACUUUUUCCAAUGAAAAUAACAUAGUUAUGAAUUAAUAAUUUCGUAUGUUUUUUUAAAACUAAGAUGUCUACCACGAACAACGGCAGAUACUAAAAUGUGACCAAGACUUUUUAAAGAGACUAACAUGUGUUGAACUUUCACAACACAUGUUUUAGAACCCUUAAUCAAAUAGUUAAAGAGACUCAAACUUCUCCCACUUGUGCCACACCAAUGUUGGUAAGGGUAUAGAAAAGCAUAUAAUAAUAUUAUCGAACAAUUGGAUGGGCAUUAUCUUUCUUUUCUGAAGAGCUGAAUGUAUUAUCUUUUGAGAAUCGUUGUUGACACAUAUGCAUUGGCUGUGUCACACUAGCAAUUUACUAAAAUAUUCCUCGGCAGUUAACUGCCGAAUUAUGGAACCGGCUGCAGUUAACUAUCGAGGAAAACUUCGAAAGUAAACUACCAAGUAAAACUGAAAACUUCGGCAGUUAACUGCCGAGGAAACCUGAAACCUGAUUUUUUUUUUUUUGACAAAAACCAUAAAUUGUCAUUAAUAAUAUUUAUUGAUUUUGAAUGUUUUUUUGUACAUUUCAAACAAUUGCAGUAUUAUACUUAUGCAUAUAUAUAUAUAUAUAUAUAUAUAUAUAUAUAUAUAUAUAUAUAUAAAAUUUAAAUCUUGAUCAAAAAAAUAAAAAGCAUUUAAGUCCUCAAAAAAUAUUUCAAUAAGUGUAAAAAUUAAGCAUUUGAAUAUUGUUUUGCAAAUUACUUAAAUAAAAAAAAAUCUUUGUGCACAAUUAUUUUAAUAUAAAAAAUAUAACAACAUAUUAUACCUUAAAAAAAAAUCGUUGUGCACAAUUAUUUUAACGAUUUUUUUUAUUAUUAUUUGUAUUUAAGUAAUGUGCAAAACAAUAAUCAAAUGCUUAAUUUUUACACUUAUUUAAAUGUUAUUCUUAUUAAGCUAUAUACACAUAAGUAUAAUACUGCAAUUGUUUGAAACGUACCAAAAUAAUGAUUGAAACAUUCAAAAUCAAUAAAUAUUAUUAAUGACAAUUUAUGGUUUUUGUCAAAAAAAAAAAAAAAAGGUUUGAGGUUUGCUCGGCAGUUGCCGGAGUUUUUAGUUUUCCUUGGUAGUUUACUGCCGAAGUAAAAAAAAAAUUACAGGGAAAAACCAGAAAUGACCUAUAUUGGAGGUAAAGCACUAUUAACCCUAUCUUUUACUUUACACGCUAGCAUUUUACAUAACGGAAUGAAUAUCAUAACAGGUAGGAAAAAACUAAAAAAACAGCAUUAACAUUGUAGAACUUCGAAAAGAAACUAAAAAUAACAGCUAAUUCAACUAAAAUAAACGUUUCCCAUUUCAAUAUCAAAUAAAAAUAUCAUUGUUAAAGUUUGAAAGACAGUCUCACAUAUAGUAUUUCAGAAGUUGAGAGACAUUUCAUGGUUUUGUAUAUGUCCAGUUUUUCACAAGAUCCAAAUUCAGACUACUCCUAAGACCAACCAGGACUUACGUCUGAUCCAAUUUGGUACUCGAAUGAUUGCAUAUCUGGCAGAUUGUUGUUUCCUGUUUGCAUGCCACGGUUGUUGGUACCAGUAAAGCUAUUCAUGCCUUCAGGAAAAAGUUGAUGUUGGAAGAAAGUUGGUUGCUUAUUGUGCUGCUGCUCAUUCAUCUGGAAAGCAAACUUUGAAGCGGAAAGAUCAGGCUGUUGUAAAGACAUUGUCAAGUGUUGUUGUUGCAGCUGCUGCUGCUCAUUCAUAUCAAAAGCUGAGUUUACAGCAAAGUCUGGUCGUUGCAGUGGCAUUGGUACUUGAUGUUGCUGCUGCAUGCCUUGCCCCUGUGGAACAAUUUUAACAUAAGUGACGAAAUCUUAUAAAUUAUAAUUCAAACCUAGGUUUGCUGGUUAAUCAUUAUCUUAACAACCUGAGAAUGUGUUUGUGCCUGUGGCCUCGCCUGGGGUCCAAAAUCAGCCAGUUUGGCGAGAAAAGUCAGGUUAUGCUGAAGCUUGGCUUGAUAUCUGUAUCAUGUUAAUUGAAUAUGUCAUAAAGAAGCCAGUGUGCAAGCUUGAUUAUUAUUAGCAGAGAUACAAAUUAUGAUAAAGCCAUUAGCCAUAGAUAACAAUUAAGAAGGCAACCACAGCAUAUAGUAAAUAAAUGACACUUGCAACAAACAAACUCAAACUAAAUAACAAAUACAACCAAGGUAGUGUAUGGCAUAUGAAAAGAAUGGAACUUGAUAUCUUUGCUUCCGUUCUAUGCAAUGAAGUCAAAAUGUAUAAGCACUCCGUUUCUUCAAGUCAUGUUUUAUUUUUAACACGUAUCGAACAUUUUCUGUUCUGUUCUAACUUGUCUGCCAAACAUUAGCUUAUAUUUUUCAACCGGAAAGACGAAUAAUUUGGGACAACAUAAAUACUAUUCUGUUUUGUGAAAUGGCGUCAGUAAUUACAAUUUAAUGUAACAGGCUAUAAUAAAAUAUAUGAGAAUCUAGAGCACUUACUUAGGCAACCCAAAUACUUGACAGCGCAAUCAUUUUCAAACAAGUGGAUAUCAGCUCAUGGUGCACAUAUCACAAAAAGAAUAAGAAGAAUAAAUACCAGACAUGUUUUCUAUGGAUUUAACUCUUCUAAAGUGAGAAGUUCAUUUGAAGACAUAGAGUUACCAAUUUAAAUUGUUGAUUGAAUGGGUGAUAAUGUGAUAAAAUACAUAUGCAUUUAUAGCCAAAAUCAUGUAGUAAAAUCUAUCAUCCUCAACAUCAAAGAAAGAAAAAAUCUAUCAUCCUCUUCUUUUCAGAGCACUUAGUUUGAGUACACUACACUUUGUUACAAAAAAUCUAUUUUAGCAUCAGUUUAAGCUACUUCUAAAAUGGUGUUCUUCCUAUAACUCAUAUAAUUUAACUAGGUUAGGACCAGAUAAUUCACCACUGCAAGAAUGAACAAGGUACAAAAGGAUAUAAUGGUUAAAAUGUAAAGAUACAAUAUUUCUACCAUGUGCUUCAUGAUGAUGUAAUUCAUAAUUGCAACCUUUUGUAUUAAAACUUUAGCUUCUAGAUUCAUCAUACAAUUAAAUGUUGGCUGCAUAUGAAUUAUGAAACAUACUACUUUUACACACUUCUUCAUUGAUUCUUUCUUUCACAUUAAUUAAGUUUCAUGUAUCAGAUCACAUUAAUAGUAUUAAGAACCAUAACUUAUAUUCCUUUCUUUUCAAGGGUUAGCAAAGCACAAAUAGCAAUUUGUCAAUUGAACCACAGCUUCAGUAAUAAAUCUGCUAAUGACCAUAUGAAAUGAUACAUAAUCUAUGACAAAAAACAACCAAAAAGGGAUAACAUGUUUAUGUAAAGUAGAGGGUUUCCAAACUAACUACCACAGAGUACUAAAAUGUAUGCAAUAAAAUUCAUCAAUACAAACAAAAUGAUUCAGACCCAUGACAGCAGAAAAGAUAAUGCAACUGAAAUUUAAACCACUUGAUAAUACCUAGAAACAAACAAAAGCAAUACAAAUUAAACACAGUAAAAAAAAAGGCUACUCACGGUCCGAGCUCGCUGUGCUUCCCCUGCUUUUGACCUUCCAGUAUUUUCAUUAUCAACUCCUCAUUCUCCUCCAAGCACUGCACAUGGAUAAACUCAGGUAAGGUAACACAUAAUUACUUCAAUCAAAUCACAUCAAGUAAAUAUUUUUAGAGAUAUCUUAGAAACUAAUCUAAAAAAAUGGCAUCAUUAUGAUAAUUUGAUUGGAUGCACAUGUAAAAAAAAAAAAAAAAAAGUUUUACACUGUCAGUAUAUACAAAUUAAAUCUUAUUUCAAUUAAAGUUCCAAACUUUUCACCAAAAGUGCAUCAUGCAUUCAAUCAAAUUGAUUCACAAAAGUUCAUAUACUGAUGAAUAACAACAUGACCCGGUUUGAAAUAACUUAAUAAAUGAAGUUUAUGCGUACAUUGGAUUCAAUGAUUGUGAAAAAUUUAACGAAAGAGAAAAAAACAAAUUAAUAGCUUAGGGCACAAGGAAAGCAAAAGAAAACAACACCACACACUGUCACACAUGUGUGUGACAUUUUCUUAAACGUGAAUGAGACAAUAAAAAAUGGGUGAUUGAAAAAACGCGAAAGUUUACAUUUUUUUCGAAUCCCAGAAUGAAAAUGAGCGUAAAGAUGAAUCUACAACCUCAAAUUCAACGUAAAGGGAAAAGGGUAAUGAAGAAGAGAAAUUGGUAAAGGAAAAAAGUUGGCACCUUUUGAAUCUGCUCGGUUGUUAACACGGGGAGAGAAGGAUCAGCGUUCAUCAUGAGGUUCUUGAAAAAAAGUUGAGAGUGUGAAACGAAAGUGAAAACACAAAUCAAACGCAAAAACCCUAGCGUUUUUGUUCUUCUUGCACUGAAACUAUUUUUCCGAGUUCAAAUGUGUGCACUUUUCGCUGUUUUAUUCUUUCUGCGUUGGUUUUAAGAGUGAUGCUUACUUGUUUAAAAAAAAAAAAGAAAAAAUAUUGAUGCUUACUUGGCACAAGCCCAAUCAAACUAUUUGGACACACAAAAAAUUAAAAAAUUCAAUUCAAUUAAAUAAUGAGAAACUCAAUUGAUAAAGACAUGGGAUUUAGUUUAUAUUUACAACAAAAUACAUUAAUCAUUCAAUAAAUCUAAAAAGUUUAUUCAUUUGUUAAAUUUUAGGCCUUUGACGCCAUUAAUUGUGUUCUAAUCUAAAAAGUUUAUUCAUUUUAAGUUUAUUCUUGUUCUAAUCUAAAUAUAAGAAGUAUUAUAUUAAUUGUGUUCAAAUAAUAUUGAUUUAAGGUUGUGUUUUUGAAAUAUUUUUCUUGGUUCAAAUUAAGGAUGUCAAUGGGUAUCUAUGGGUACGAGCAGUUGGAUAAAUAUGGUACUUAUACCCGUCUCCAUAUCUGUGCGGGUAAUCCACGGGUAUUUAGAUACCCACGAAUAUUCGCGGAUACUCAUGAAUUUUUUAUUUUACUUUUUUACAAAUAAAAUAUUUUUUAAUUACCUACAAACUUCGACAAUUAAACAUGCAUACAUAAACAUAUUUCACUCAAAUUUCAUAAUCCAUACCAUAAUCCAAAAAGCAACAGUUGAAAUAAAAUCAAAAUACUCAAAUCCAAAUAAACAUCUAAAAUAAAAGCAUAGAAAUCUCCAAAUAAAAUCUCAUAGCAUUCACUAACAAUGUCAUUCACAGCUUAUAUCAAUGUCACCAUCCAUAUCUUUCAAGAUUGAGUUAAAUUUAAUGUUUUCAAACUCUUUCUAUAUCUAUAUAUAGGGGGCAUAUCACACGAGAAUGGGCAACUUAUGUGAGAAUGGUGAGAACACUUAUCAGCCUUUUAGAUAAAAAAUGAAUGGACCAGAUUAAAAGCUUAUCAUGUGUCUCACCCUAUUCAAUCAAUUUUCAUGAAAUAUUCAUCUUCCUCAACAGUAACACCUUCGUCUUCCACCCACCUCAUUUAUGUUAACAUUACUCUUCACCACCAUUAACAUUGACAGCCAAAUCUGAAUGGUUUUUUACGUUCUUUAAUUAAUUUAUUAACGAGUAUUUUAGUAAUUACUCUUUAAUUAACAUUACUCUUCACCACCUUCGUCACACACACACAUGAAUAUUUUAGUAAUUUAAUUAAUUUAUUAACGAGUACGGAUAUCCGCGGGUACAGGUACCAUCAAAUCCGUGUUCAUAAAGUAACGAGUAAUUAAAUACCCAUUUAUUAUACCCACGAGUAUCCGUUUAGCUACCCACCUCGUGCCCAUGAAGGAUUUUAUACGCAGAUAUCCGCGAGCACGAAUUUUUUUUGCCACCCCUAAUUCAAAUAAGUGUUGUAUCUUUAGCAAAUUAAAAUAUUAAAAUACAAUAACAAAAAUAUAACUUAAAAUGUAUAUAAUUUAAAGGGAUGGAGUUUUGUAGAGAUUAUUACAAGAAAGUGAUUCCUUUUUAAAAAAGAAUUAUAAGAAAAUGGUUGUAAUGGUAUGGUUGGUAUCUUUUGAACGUUAUUUUAAUAGGUUUAAAGAACAAAUUCAACCCCAAAAGAGCAGUCAUGAAAUAAUGGUCUGGUCAAACACCACAUAAUUCACACAGCACAAACAAAUAAGAUCUAAUUGCUUAGCCCAACAAGGAAGAAACUAGACAUGGGUACAUCAUAUAAAGGGACAAGGGUGGUGGCAUGGCGAGAAAGUUAUUCCCAACAUCAUCAAAUGGUAAAAAUUCACCAAGGACCAAUGUGAUUAUAUGGUUCCACGUAUCAAGAAAUCCGCUUAACUCUCAUAUAAGCGGCCUCCGUCGUCUAUCACGGGUUUCAAGUACACUAACGUAUAACAUUAACACCUACCUCAGGAUGAUCUUAAUUAAAGCACAUAGAAGUUCAAAUACCCCUCCCUCAUAUAUGACCAUUCAACCCAUCCUACUUACCUUGGUAUAAGAGUGUUUUAAUAGGUACACCUCUCUCAUUUGGAGAAAAAGCGUAUGAGCAGAGGACAUGGUGAUCACCAACAUCAAGACUUGAAGUUUACAUUUCGACCAACAAAAAAAAAAAGACUUGAAGUUUACAUCAUUGGUUCAUGUAAGAUUCCUCGUGUUUAUUCAUACAAGAACACUAGUUGUGCUAUUUAAUAAGAUUAUAUUUUAAAAAUUCAUUUUUUUUUUUUACUGAAAUGUAAUAAAAAUUUAUGAAGAAAAGUAGAAAUUAUAUAUUGUUUGUUUAAGGUGAUGCUUUUAUAUAUUUUUUUCGUAGACUAUAUAUUGUUUUUUAUAAAUAGAUGUUACAAACAAAUAAAAAUUUCUAAAAAUUGUUUUUUCUUUUCUAAACAUGACUAUCUCUAAAUUUGGUACUUUUUCACAAAAACACUCAUCCCUUCUCACACACACGUACACAUAUUUUACAUACAAAUAUGAAGUUAAUUCAUAUGUAUAAUGUAUUGAAAGCAUACAAAUAUUUUACAUUAUCAAUUAAUUACAGAGUUUAGUGUAACAUUGUUUUUGAACGGGGUUUAUAAUACAAUUCAAAACAUAUAUGGUUUUUAGAGCACUUGCUAAAGAUUUAAAAAUGUAAAUAAUUGAUAAUUUUUAUGCACAAAAAAAUUGUUUUUUUAUGUUUCAAUAUGUCGAAUAUACAAAUCUUAAAAUAAACUUUUCAUUCUAAACUUUUUAUCGAGUGUUUCAAAGACACUUGUUAGCAUUUCCCUUGUUUGCUAUUUAUUUACAAUGAAUCUUAAAGAAAUGGUAACAAUCGUUCAAGGUCCAAGGAUAUGUAAAAUGUAAUUUAGAAUUAUUCGAGUUAAAGGUUAAUAAGAAAAGAAAGAAUAAUAAAAGAAUGAACCAAUUCCACCAAUGAUCUCCUAAAUUAACAAGACUAAAUACAACAAACUUGUUUGCACGAUGAUUGUCCUCAUUAUAGACAUGCAAAACUAUAAAAAUUAAUAAUAGAGUAGAUAAACAUACUGAACAAAUUUGACAAUAAACAUUCAUAAUAUAGCAGAUAAGCAUACUGUACAAAUUUUUGUCAUGUAUUUGACGGAUAAUGGACAUCGCAAACAAAAUAAUACGAAAUUUACUACAAUAUAUGAUAUAUAUGAGAGAGUGAGAUAGAGAUAUGAGAAAUUGAGCGAAAUGAGAAAUACAAUAUACAAUAAGGGGGAGAAGAGUGAACCCAUAAGGGAGCUAAGAUAUCGAGGGGAGAUAUAAGAAACACCAUAUCCCUCCAAUCGAGCACCCAAAAAAUAUUCAAGAAUGUCACUAAUAACUCUAUGCUAUGUUAUAGAUCAAUAAUCUCAUAUAGUUAAAUGUUAAUAUUUUUAAAUUAGAAUGAUGUAAGAUUCACAAAGAGAGCUUAAAAAAACUCUUAUUUUCUAUACAACACCCAUUUUUUCUUCUUCUAAAUCAGAGUACCUAUUUGAUAUCAAGUAAUGAAAUUUACUCACCCAAGUUGGUAAGCAAGGUUCUAUUUGGGAGUAUGGAGAGGAGGGGAAUGGAGGGUUGGAAUAUUUAGAAAAAUCUUUUAUAUUUUUCGAAAGAACAAUUUUUUCGAGAAUAAUAAACUAAUGUUUAUUGAUUAAUAUAUUUUUAAUUUUUAAGAAUAUCAUCACAACAUAUAUUAAAUUUGAAAAAUUCAUAUAAACCCUUAAAACCUUCCCCCAAUAUAAUUUUUGAGUUCCUUCAAAUGAGGGAAAUUUUGUAUUAUGGAUAAAAAAAAUUCUAUUUCUUCCACCAACUACCUCAUUUUUUCCAAAACCCUCUCUUCCAAACUCUCAACAAAACUUAAAAGAUAUUCAUCUUUAAACUACUUUUUGAACCAAAAUUUAAUAAAGUAUAAAAUUUUGAAUUUUUGACCAUCCUCUCACCCUAUUUUUGUCCUAUCUCUUAGUCAAUUCUAAAAUGAUACGUGAGAAAAAUAUCUUGUGUGUCCAAAAGCAUCAUUAGCUAAUAAUCUAACCUAAGGCUCUUUAAGCAGUGAGUUUUUAGUUUAAUGCAGGUGCUGAUUUGCAUUUUUUUUGAUUAAAUAUGUUUUUGGUCCUUAUAAAUAGACCAACUUUUCGUUUUAGUCUCUCUAAAAUUUUCCUUCAACUUUUAGUCCCUUAAAAAUUUUCCAUCUUCACUUUUGGUCCCUCUUUUAAAGUAAACUGAUAUGUAGAAUUCAUAUUUUUGAAUCAAAUUUUCUAGAAAAAUUCAUAAUAUUAUAAGAAUCUCUCCCAAAAAAAAUUAGAAAUUUUAACAAAACAUGAAUUUAAUAUGAAUUUUUAUAUUUUUUUUAUGGUUAAAAAUUCAUAUUUAAUGUAUGUUUACUUAAAAAAUUCUAAAUUUUUUUGGGAAAUGUUUUUACAAUAUUCUACACAUUUCUGUACAAUUUCAUUAAAAAAAUAUUUAAAUUUACUUUAAAAUAGGGACCAAAAGUAGUGAUUCAAAAUUUUAUAGGACUAAAAGUUGAAGGAAAAUUUUAGAGGAACUAAAACAAAAAGUUGGUAUAUUUAUAGGAACCAAAAAUAUAUUUAACCUUUUUUUUGACACAAUAGUACAUGUGCAUUCUUGUUUUAAAAUAUUAUAGUUUUUUUUUUUUAGGAAAAAUAUUUAUAGUUAUUUUGCAGAUAUUUUGAAAAGUUAACUUAAAAAAUUUACUGUAAGUCUCAUAAGUUCUAGUUCAACUGAUAAAAGUACCGAAAUUGUUAGGCCGAACGUAUGAUCGGAGUUUGAACCCCGAUAGCUACACUUUGUAUUGUGAGUUUAUAUGACUUUGUUAUCUCGUCUAUCUAAAAACAAUAAAUAGUGUAAAAGAAUUAAAAUUAAAGAGGAAGGACACAAAAACGACGUCGCUGCAAGAAAGGGCGAAUGUAGGCACGCGCGUUCGGCACUGUAGUUUUUUGAGACAUCGUUUUUUUUUUUGCGCAGCAUCGUGAGAAGAAGAAAGGGGUUAACGCAUUUUCCUGUAAUCAAUCAAUCUCGAGAGAAAGAAAAUGGGGUACGUGCUUCGAGUGAGAUUAGCUUCGUUCUUCGCCGGUGCUGCAACGGCGUCGUUCGCUGGUCUCUACAUCCUUCAUAGGGAUUACAAGCUUGCUCACCAAUCCCAUACUCAACAGGUAUUUUCCAACAUUCUUCCACAAGAUUCAUGUUACUUAAUCACGUCGAUUAACAUAUUUAUUAAUUGAAACAUGCAGUGAUUAGAUUAGAUUAAGAUGAUUUAGCUUUUGGAUUUUUGGUUAGAAAUAGGAACAUAACUGAUGCGAUUAUGAUAAUCAUUUUUUUAGUCGAAUAAUUGUUUUUCUAGGGAACAUUCCUUAAGGCUUUGUUUGCGAGUUUGUAGGGGAAGGUAAGAGAGGGCUUUGGGUGGUGAAGGAGAGUAGGGGAAAUAGAGAAAUAUUUCACAUUUUUUUGAAAGAGUGCUUUUGCAGAGAAUGAUAAAUGAAUGUUUAUCAUUCAUAUAUUUUUAAUUUUGAGAGUAUUAUAACAACAUAGAUUACAAGAAUUUAUCUAAACCCUCCAAAACCUUACUUCUAUAUAAUUUUUGAGCUCCCUGAUUUUGAGGGGAUUUUGUGUUAUGAAGAAAAACAAACCCCCAUUCAUGUUGGGAGCCUAUCAUUUUCCCUUCCUCCUUCCCUCCAAACUCGUAAACAGAGCCUAAGAAGUUAGCUAUCCAGUGGGAAGAUCAUUAAAUGCCUUCCAUCCCAUACCACUCGAUGUGUGAUUUGGGCACCCCGUCAUACCUAAGUUCCUAUCACUAUGGUAAACCAAAAUUUGAUAGAUCAUUCUUCUCUUUCCUACUUUAUACAUCCAAAACAUAAUUGUCAUAUGCAUUUUUUUUUUUAUUUUUUUUUGAGCUUGCCUUUAAUUUGAGCAGUAUCUUUAAGACUGUUGCUUCUAGUUCCCUCUUUGUUGUAUAUAUAUUGCUCUUGAAAUUGUUAUGCUUCUCCCUUUCCAUUUUCAAAUAGUGCAUGGUCUCAUAAAAUUCCUUAUCUUUAAGACUUGUUUUGCUCAUUGCAAAAUCUUCUCUUAUCAUCUACUGCAUUUAUUUUAUUUCCUUAAUUUGGACCCGGCGAUUUUGUUUCUCACCUUCUUGGAUAUACGGUAAUUGGUCUUAUUUUUGUUGACUUUUAUAAAACUUGUAUUGUUUGUUAGACAAACAAAAUAGUCAAAGUUUUCAUGAAAGGUGUUUCUUUGGAACUUUUCAUUCGGGAUGAUUCUAUUCUAGAUAAAUAAUACAAAUAUCCUUUUCUUAUAGUCUUAGGGUGUGAGCGUUUCAGUUGUUGUUAUCGAUGUACAUUUCUAGUCAUGCAUGGGAGUUUAGCUUGAGUGCAAAAUGCAUUGAGAGCUUCUAACAAGCUUAAUGAUUUUCUGUCAUCUCCUAAUGAAUGUGGUCUUUCAUUGUCAAAUAAAGGGAAUCCAGUUGGUGUCCCCACCCCCCUAAUUAUUUCUAAUUCACACCACAAAAAAUAUUAUACAACAAAACAUUAUGUUUUACAUACAACUUUUGGGAUAGUAAUCUUCACUUCAGUCCUAUUUGGGGAUAGUGCAUUAUUAACACUUCUGUAAUAAUCUUUUUUCUUUCUACUCUCUUGUGUGGAAUUCAUGAUUCACAGUUAGUUGCUUGUUUGAAAUUAACCUUAAUCACAUUACCAUGUGGAAAAUGAUGGCAUCAACUCCUUCCUCACUUGUCUUAGCUGCAUAAUUCUCGUCACACUUAAUGCUAUUGAAACAUGUGUGUAUAGUGUAUUGAUUUGCACGUAAAGUUGAUUUGGAAAAAGGUAGGAGACAUCACCCCCUAAAAUCAAGAGUAUUGAAGGGAUGGGAGGAAUCAAGCAUACAUUGGUUGAGAGGAUGAAAAAAUAGAUUCAUGAUUGUGAGGCGAAAAGUUUGGAGACAUGACCGUUUCCAGAGAUGGCCUUGUUGCAACAAUAGGAAUUUUUUUGGAUAUUCAAUUAGGUGUGUAGCAACUAGCAACCAAGAAUCCUGCUCUGAGAAAACAAGAUUGAAAUUCCCAAUCUUGACGGCAGUUGUUUUUUGCUGGAACCAAAUAUAAACUCUUUCUGGUGCAUUAAACAAACACAAACCCUUUUUGAGAAGAUGCUGAAAGAACUUCAUACUAUGGCGAACUUGAAACAUAAUGUAGCCCAGUUUUGAUUAUCUUCUAGAUUAUAGGACUUCUUUAUAAAAUAAUUUAUGGUUCUUCAUUUACGGAAAAGUUCUUAUACAAGCUUUGGUUCAAGCAGUAGCUGCCUUAGAGAUCCAGGUUUUAUGGACUAUAGCUGCACCACUAACCCCACUGCCAUUGAAGCCACCAGCCACUGGCUGACAUAUUGUUGUGGCUAACAGGUUGGCAUUAGCAAACUGCCACAGGUGUGUAAGAUAGGAACACAUCUUAGGCUCUGUUUAAGAGUUUGGAGGGGAGGGAACAGGAGGAAUUUGGGGGGAGGGGAGGGGAGGAGAGGAAAAGGGAGAAAUCUUUCGCCUUAUUGAGAGAGUGUUUUGUAGAGAAUGAGAAGAAAAUGCUUAUAAUUAAUAUAUCUUUAAUUUUGAGAGUAUUAUAAAAUCAUUGAAAGAAUUUGAAGAAUUUAUUUAAGCUCUCAAAAAUCCUCCUCCAAUACAUUUUUUGAGUUCCUCCAUUUUGUAUCAUUCCUCCAUCUUUCCUUUCCUCCUCCCCUUUUCCGAAAGUCCUCCCCUCCUAAACUCCCAAACAUAGCCUUAGUGGCAACGGUGGUUUGGUUCUGGAGAGGGAGAUAAAUGGAGGGGCAGAAUUAGCAUUAGCAUCCUGCAAAGUGGAUCUGAUUCCCAAUGGGCUGGCCCCAAAUUGGUGUCAUUAUUUAGGUUCAUGUACACAGAGAUGCGCAUUGCAAAUCUGUCAACUGUGGUUAAUAUUUAAACUUGCCAAGCUGAAGCCUAUAGGCAAAUGGACUACAAUUAGGAAACAGGAGAUGGUUUCUAUUUCUUCCUAAAGCUGAAUAUUGCAUUGGCUCCUGAGCAUCAGCUCCCAAUCAUAGAUCCCACAAUCAAAUAUCUCUCAAUCAAAGGUCCCUCAAAGCAGGGGAGGAGCUAGGACUGAGUGAUGGGAGGGCCCAAUAUAAUUCAAGAAAAAAAAUAAAAAACAAUGAAGGGUAGAGAAAGAAAUGGAGGCACACCUAAUCCUUGCAAUUGAAGAUAAUAAGUAUGAGUUUUCUAAAGACAUUUGAAAUUGAAACGGGGUAAAUUGAGUGUUAGACAAAACUAAGGAAUACAACUAACUGAAGGAAGAAGUUCGAAGUUGGAAAGGGAAAUUAGGGCAUUAAAUUGGUAGUCUAGUCUUAUUGUCUAUGCAUCUAAUUAUUUCUUUAAUAGACUAUGCUUUUAAGAGCAGUAAGACAUUAGAGAAAGUUUUCAGCACUGACACGUCUUGGAUACAUGUUUCCCAAGACAAUAACAUGAUCUUGUGUGGUGGCAAAACUUUAUCUGUACGGCCUAGCACAACCGGUAAUACCGACUUUGUUAGGACGGAUAUCUUCGGUGGUAUCCCGGGUUCAAGCCUGGGAUCUUCCACUUUGUAUGUGAGUUUAUAGUGGUGUUUGACACUUCGUCUAUAGACCAGCAAAAAUGUUUUGGUCUCUAUUUAUUCUCUGAUAUAUGUAUGUACUAUUUUUAUUUUCAAGCUUUUAUUCCACAGUGAGUCGCUGCUCCAUUUCCACUUUGGCUGUUCAAAAAACAGCAGGGGCCAGGCCCCCAAGGAUCAUCCAACAUCUCCUCUCCCCCUGCCCCAAAAGACUUGAGCAAAAAAUUUCCUUAGGGAUUGCAUGAUUGCAUCAGGUCCCAUAUUCAAUUUUAUUGUAUUAUAUUUCAGCAAACACUCGGGUAGGGAGAUUAUUGCCAAAUUGAUAGCUAUUGGAACAACUUGUGUGUAUUCACCCAGUCCAAUUCAAGGUUGGACCUCAUUGGGGCCAACCAAAAGCACAACUGGCCCUACCCAGAAUUUAGACAGUAAAGCGAUGGUAGUGAGUUAAACUGGUUGUUGAAGGGAUGAAGAGGAGGGGCACUGUACUGGGUAAUUUUGGAGAAUUAGUUAGGGUAAUUAGUUGAGGAUAUUUGAUUGAAUAAAUAGGGGGAAAUAGUAAAAAGGAAACAUGAAGAUUUGUUAAUUCGGAAAAAUACAGCAGUGGUUCAGUUCCAAAAGGGAAAAACCUUUGAAGGAGAAUUGUAUUUCUUAUUUUCAAUAAUCAAUAAGUAAAAUUGUUCCUUUGUUAAGACCAAAAAAAAAAGAAAAAAAUAUUCCUUUGUGUUCGUUUUUGUUUCUAUAAUUUCCAUUUGCAUGGCACAAUGUCAAAGCUUGCUCUGUGUAGUUGCGACUAACUUAGAAUUAGGCAUGCAUCAAUCUAUCUGAACCGUGAAAUAUGUCUUCAAUCCUUCAUUUUCUUCACUAUUAGCAACUGUCUCUUUGAUCCUUCCUUUUCUUGCAUGGAGGGAAUGAGUGAGCUUUGUUUGAAGAGUUUGUGUGGUGCUUCAUUUGAGUACUGAACUUUCUUUUCUUCUGCAGGUAAAUGGUCUCUACGAAUCACUAGACAGUCGAAUUUCUUCCCUGGAAAAACUGAAACAAACUGAAACUUCACAAUAGGCGGAAGCUGGAAGUUCUAUUUCACUCAUUUUAUGGCAUCUUAGCUUCCUCAACUUGUCACCAUAAAGUCUUCGGAUCAGUUCUGUAUCCGGAUGUAUUUUGGAUUUUUUUUUUUUGAACAAAUGUAUUUUGGAUUAUUAUUUUAGCUAAGUGAAUUUAUAGCUUUUAUCGCCAUUGCAUUUGGUGAUUAAUGAACAUUUGGGAUGGGAGACAUUUGCUAUCUAUAUUUGAAGCUGGGAAUUGCGUUUCUAUUUAGUUACUGCAAAUGGUUUGGAAAUAAAACGAUUACUUCAACACACAAUAUUUAGCUAUGAUAAAAACUAUCAACUAACCAAAAUUGCAUAUUAAGGUAAAGUAGAGCAGAUUAGUUUCAUUGUUAUUCGAAAUUUUCAAUUAAAAUGUUUUAUGGUUUUUUAAUUACGAAACGAGUCCAAAAAUAUUUCUGAAAUUGAAUUAGAAAGCUCUCAAUAAUUUGAGAUAUAAAUACCAAUUUCUGAUCGUCAGCCUUAAUUGACGACGACGAGUUAAACCCUGUAUACGAUUUCGGCUGAAAACAAAUUGAAUGCAAUUCCCUCACUGUCCGGAAACUUAGAUAAACAAAAGGUUUAGAGAAUAAAAGAAAGAAAAGAAAAAUCAAUAGUGCUAUAUUUGCAUUAAGAUAAUCACAUCAAAUCACAUCACAUAAGAAAGAAAUAAACAAUGUACGAUGACUAAUAUUGGGUAAGAAGUUCUUAAAAACGGGGGAAUACAAAUCUUGAUUACUACCAUAGAAAAGAAAACAUUGAUAAUAUCCUAUAUGCUAGUCCAAUUGUCUUUGUUGCAAGUCAUGCACCUACUUUUUAUUCAUCUUCAUGCUUGAGAGUCUUUUAGAGUCAGCAGCGACAAUAGGGCUAGGGUAUAUAUUGCGACUUCCAUAAACACGACCUUCAAAUUCUGCUUUCACUAUUUUAUUGAUGUAACUUUCUUUGAAACACUUUGCACAUAUAUUAGUGACCCCGACAGAAUCAAUGACGCCACAUCCUUUAUUACUGCAAAUUGAUGGAAUAAUUGGAGUUGCAACCAUGUUGUUUCACGGAUUGGUUCAAGAAAAAAAGAGAAAAAGAGUAUGAUUUUGCGUAACAAAUAAAUUGUAUAAUUUGUUGAAAAUAAUUAAAUCAAAUCAUAAAUUAACAAAACAAAAUAUACCGAUUCGAGUAUCUUGUCCUUAAAAUUUGGGAUUGUAUCAACAAAUAAACUAAUUAGGAAAAAAAAAAUUGGGAUAGGAUCAAAUUAAAUAACAACAAGGUGUCACUACUAAAUAUUCUUUUGGACCCCAUUUUAUCAAACCAACGAUAAUAGUUUCCUUUUUCAAAAUCAAAAUUUGUAGGUGAGGUCUACAUUAUCCUCUCUUGUUCAGGGAGUAUUUACCAUUUCAAGAUAUCAACCAAUCAAAAUGCAAUAUACAAAUUUAACAUUAAAUGUCAAAUAAAUGAGUCAAUUUUUCUAUAAAAAAAAAAUCAAUUUUAAUAAGAUAACUUUUAAUUUUGGAUUAAAUAUGUUUUUGGUCCUUACAAAUAUAUCAACUUUUCGUUUUAAUCCCUCUAAAAUUUUCCUUCAACUUUUAGUCCCUAUAAAACUUUCAAUCGCUACUUUUGGUCCCUCUUUUAAAGUAGGGUCUAACCGGUGUCCCCGGGGCACUGGUUAAGGAAUCUAUUAAUAGAAUUUUCUGUCUUGGAAAUAUAAACCGUCACUUUUUAUUAAGUAAUAAUUACAUUACUUUUUAAUAAAAACUUACUUCAUUUGGUGUGUAACCAAUGCCCCGGAGGCACCGGUUAACAUUCCCCUUUAAAGUAAACUCAUAUGUGAGUCCAUAUUUUUGAAUAAAAAAUUUCUGAAAAAUUCAUAAUAUUAUAAGAAUCUCUCCUUAAAAAAAUUAGAAUAUUUUUAUCAAAACAUGAAUUUAAUAUGAAUUUUUAUAUUUAUUACGGUUAAAAAUUCAUAUUAAAUUUGUGUUUUGUUAAAACAUUCUAACUUUUUUUGUGAAUUUUUUUACAAUAUUCUACACAUUUCUGCACAAUUUCAUUAAAAAAUACAAAAUUUAUAACUUAAAAAUAGGGACUAAAAGUUGAAGGAAAAUUUUAGAGGGACUAAAACGAAAAGUUGGUAUAUUUAUAGGGACCAAAAACAUAUUUAACCCUUUAAUUUUUAUUUAAUUAUAUUUAGGUAUACAAUCUUAAUUAAUUUACAUUAUAGGGCUUGUAACAAUUAAAAUUUCACAUCAAAUUCAACCCAUCAUAUACGUUCAUAAAUUUUGUUUCAUUCCAAAACCUAGAACAUGCAUAACGUGCAAUUUCCUCUUCAUUUUUCUUCUCAUCUUGAUUGUUCAAUUCUCUCGUUCCAGAAUUGCCGUUGUUUCCAAUUAUCGUGAGAAUCAUUGCCGUCCGUUUGAUUCCAGACAUCGUGAGAUCGGCAUUGUUUCCAAAAGAUAUAUCCAAGAAUUAAUGCUCACCUUGUGAAAUUCAUGUUUGUAUUAACAUUAUUUAUUUAUUUAUUUAUUUCACUUUGUCUUAUCUUCCAUAGCUUUAACCGACCUCACACCGUGUUCACAAUCUCAACAAAUGUUCAUUUCUGCAACACAAAAUACACCAGGAAAAAAAACAACAUAACAACACAAUAUAAUGAUUUGAAUAAAACAAAUUCCAAAAGUAAAUUUAAUAAUCAAUAUUGUACCAAAAAUAAAAUUAAUAAUCAACACAUUGAAGAUCCAUUUAUCUUAAUCAAACUCAAAAUAUGUGUGAUAAAAUACAAUUUUAUAUAAUCUCAAACAACUCAAUCAAACUCAAAACCCAAAUAAAAAUGGAAGCAUCAUUGAAAUUCAUGCCAAAGUUGAAAGUCACCACUGUCGCAUUACAAGUGUGAAACGGUUGCAAUCAAGUCACGAUAGUAGUGAGAAAGAAACGAAAAUGAAAAAUCAAAUCUAGAAGAAAAAUCAAGUCAUCAUACCUGAUGUGAUUAUGGAAACAACACCGAUUCUCACAAUGUUUGGAAUCAAAAGGACGACAACGAUUCUCACGAUAAUUGAAAACGACGAUAAUUAUGAAACGAGAGAAUUGAACAAUCAAGAAGGGAAGAAGAAUGAAGAAGAAAUUGCACGUUAUGUGUGUUCUAGGUUUUGGAAUGAAAUAAAAUUUAGAGAAUUGUUGUUU